RNAcentral lists this long non-coding RNA (74234 nucleotides) under Ananas comosus (pineapple). Its description in RNAcentral is "long non-coding RNA (ACOM_LNC004543)". The record is from RNAcentral. Lineage: Eukaryota; Viridiplantae; Streptophyta; Magnoliopsida; Poales; Bromeliaceae.
AUUAUCUUAAUUAUUAAUAAUUUUUAGUCAGCUACCGUAUUUUCAAAAUUUUUGUUUUACUAUCUAAUUUUUCAACUUAUUUUUUGAUUUGAAUCAGACAAUAAUAUUUUUACUUCAAAAUUUAAACUAAUUAAUUAUUUUAUUACAAUUAUAAGAAUUAUAUGAAGUAUAAUAUAAUAAAUAAAUCGGUAAGGAUAAACAAUGCAGCUAAAUUUGAAAAAUCAAAAUAUUACUGACUGACUCUGAUUUAAAUCAAAUAAAUUAAAAAAUUAAAUAAUAUAAUUAAAAUUUUAAAAGAUUAAAUAGUUGACUCAAAAUAAUUUAUAACUAAACUGAUUUCACUGUGCUCUUAUUUUGAAAGAAUUGUGCUCACCGUUAGAACUUAAUUAGAGGUGUCUCGCCAGUAAGGUUUAUUUAUUUAUUAUUUAUUUUGUUGGUGGGAAAAGUAAGAUCUCUUAAUUGCAUCAUUCCUCUACUAGACUAGUGAUUCGAUAUGACAGCCUAGAACGAGGUGCAUGUUCCGCUCAACAACUAUACAAAGCGUUCGGCAGUAGUAGUCCUCAGCCCCAUACACUGUAGGGAAUUUAUUAAUCUCACAUGUUGUAUAAAUGCAUUGUAACCGCAAAGAAAAUAACACCCGAACCAAUAGUACUCUGAAAAUAACACUUCCGUAAUGCUACGACUUUGUCACUAAAAAUUUUUUACUUAAAUAAUUUAGUUUGGUAAACUUUAAAUUUAAGCAUAAUAUAAUAUGCACUCUAUUUUAAUCUUGUUUAAACAAUCAUAUCAACUCUACUGUAUGCUAAAUGACAAUUUUUAUCACAAAAUGGUCGUUUUUUUUGCUGCUUAUACUCGUGUAUUAAAGUCCCUUGCAACAAAAGAACCUUUCUUUACUGCAUAAAGGCUUUCAUUCACUUUGCUUUCUCUUGCGACAAUGAGCAGAACAGUGCAUGGGAGACAGAAGAGCAGCAGUGGAAGUUCAUAUGACAACCUCAGUUACUAUUAUUAUUAUUAUUAUUAUUAGCAAUAUGUGAUCUAAAGACUCAAAAAGCCUCAUGAAUCCAGAUGGGAUCCUUCAAUUAUUUUAAUAGGGGGAGGGGGGAAUCUAAAAAUUGUUGGGCCUGAUGACAAGACAGGGAACGAAAAAUUGUUGGGAAAGGUGUGAGAGACAGUUGUGAGAGGAUGGGCUGUCUUUCCUACCUAUUUAAGGAGCCUCUGGACCUCUUCUGUAGGAGAAUUAAAGGAAGAUGAGAUAUUUCAAAACCAUGGCAUAAAAUAAUAUCUGAAGAGGGCCUCUUUCAUUCUUCUGAUAACUUGUCAGAUGGUUCAAACUAUUCUUUGAGUUUCCAGGUGGUGGACUGGUGGGUAUUCAAAUUCAGCUCAUUUAAUGAUGUGGGUUUUGAAUGAUAUUGGUGAUUCAACUCUUACUGGAUUGUAUGGCCUUGUCCUCAUCUUUUAUUUUCUAUAUAUAUAUAUAUAUAUAUAUAUAUAUAUAUAUAUAUAUAGAGAGAGAGAGAGAGAGAGAGAGAGAGAGAGAGGUAGGUCAGAGACAUAAAAGUUCUUUUGGCAGUGACAAUUUAAGUGUGUUAUAGGUGACUGGUCUAUUUAUUUGCCUUGCCCAUUUAAUAGGUUGGAGAUAACAAUUAAUACAUUCCCUCUCUUCAUAUAUCUGGCUUUGUAAACAGUUGUCUCCUCCUUCAAUCCUUGUGGCCUAAUGGAGUCCUCCCAGCUCAUUGGAGAUGCUGAAGAGUGCAGCAGCAGUGAAUCUGGGUGGACCAUGUACCUUGCAUCUCCCAUGCAUGAUGAUACUAACAUGCAUGAUGAUGGUGGUGAUGGUCAUGAUGAUGGUGGUGAUGGUCAUGAUGAUGGUGGUGAUGGUGAAGUUGAUCAAGGCCAUGAUGCGGUUGCUGGUUAUUAUUGUGAGAGCAGUGGCAGCAGCAAUGCAAGUGUUGGUUGCAAUGAAGCCGAUCAUGGAGAUGACUCAUUGGCCUCUGAUGCUUCUACAGGGCCUGCUCAGAAGAUUGAACCAUGCUCGAAAUGUGAUGGUACAGAUGCCAUGGAUUAUCCCAAAGAUGAUGUCAAUGGUGAUGAUAAUGAUAAUGAUAAUGAUAAUGAGAUUUAUAGCCAGUUUUCUUCAAGCUUAUACAAGAGAAAAGAGAAGGUGGAGAAGAGGGGAGAUGGCAAAUCUCCAAGGCCUUUUCUGAAGGGAGCUGGUUCUUCCAGGAGCAGCUCUGAGGUAAGGAGGAAUAAGUUGAUUGGUAAAUAGUUUUAGAAGCUUCCUAGAUUUGCUUUUCUCUUUUCUCUUCUUUUUUUUUUUUUUCUUUUUGGCUAAGAUUGUGAAAUCUAUGAGCUAGUAGAUUUUCCUUGGGAGUUCCUCUGCAGACAACCUGAGAACAAUGAUCUUGCACAUGGAUUCAAAUGCCCUGUCAGCUGAAAUUUUUGAGAAAUAUUGUAGCUUAGUUUCUCAAGUUUCGGAACUUCUCUUUGUGGGACGAAAUGUUUGAUUUGUGACUCUCUGUAUUUAUCAUCUUGCAAUAUUGCCUACCUUUUGACGUCCAGCACGAUAUAUAAUAUAUAAACACAAGAAGCAUAAGUUGACAUACAGUUAUCAAACAGUUUCAGAAGAAAAGGAACCACUUUGUUAGACUCAGGGGUUAAUCACCUUUAUUUUAUUGCAUAUAUAUAUAUAUAUAUAUAUAUAUAUAUAUAUAUAUAUAUAUCAAGGCUUUUAUUUUCAGUCCCCACCCAACACCCCGGCCAAAAAUGGGGGGGAAUCAUUAAACAGCAUGCACAAAGUGGUCGAGUUCACUCUUUCGAUCCAAAGAGAAAACGAUUCUUACCUUCAGGUUGUCUGGGCAAUGAAGGAAAAGAAAAGCCUGUUGGGAGCCAGGGAAAAUCUAUCUAAACAAUUAAUGCACGUGCGGGGAAAAGUCACAACAUUCCUACAUUACUAGUUUCUCUACAAUCCCGUGCUGAGAAAACUAAUUUGUAUGAAGGAAUUAUGGCGCCGCUCAAAAUUAGUGGUAAAUUACUCCUGAGUCAUCCGAUCCGAUCCGAGCUAACUAUGGUUCAGAAUGCAGUAUUUUAUUAAUGAGCGGCGAGAUGACCUUUUGUGCAAAAAUUUUCUACCCUACUCACUGGAUUGAAUCCCUCUUGUAUCAGUUAUUCAUUCUUUUGCUAGAUUCCUCCAAAUAUAGUUAAUGGGUAAUUCAUUCUAAGAUACCUGGAGCAUUAGCUCUUGUACACUAUAUAAUUAAAGACACAAGUGUUCUUCCAAGUUGAAGUUGUUCAAGGAAUGACCAAAUUAUUGACCCUUUGUUGGUUAGCAUCUAUAGCUGGACCAUAAGAAAGCAUAUGCUCAGGCGGAAAGAUCGUGUUAUACCAGCUGUGGCUUGUCUUUUGUGGGCAAUAUAUUCCCUCGUGUAUAUGAUGAUGAUGAUGAUGAUGAUGAUGCAUCGUGGAUAGGCCACAAUGGGUUGGAUUUAUGAUGCCCCACAAAGCCCUCAUUAUAAGGAUAUCAAUCUGGGUAUAAGUUUACACAUGAAUCAGUUAUAAAUCAAACACCUCAUCAAUGUAAUUUUGAGGAAAGCUCGAGAUACUGAAAUAGCCAAGAUAUUGAUAUGUAUUGCUAUGUUUUGAAUAACCUCCAAAACUAGGUGUCUCGAUGUCAAUAAUGGUACCAAAUGAGAUGACUAAGAUGUGACUAUCUUCGGCAUUAAAAACAUCGUGCUCAGCGCAAGAAUGAUUAAUUAAUCAAGCCUAGCUGCAAUUAACAGAUGAAUACGGUCCCUGUAACUUUUGUUUCCGCUUAAUCACCAAUUAUAAGUUUCAUUUGAAGAAUAAUAAUAAUAAAAUCAAUACUUCAGGAGAAAAGUUGAUUUAGCAAGCAAGAGACCAAAUUUUCUGUUACAACAGUGUAAGACGGAACAUACAAGAAACAAUUGUUGUAUUAUAGGAAAUUUACAUUGCUCAAAGAAACAUUGCAUUAUUGAGAGCAAUUUCUCCCGCAAAAAAGAGUAACCAUGUGCAGUUAGAGUCUCAAGAAAAGGAUACUCUCUUAACUACUUCAGGUCGAUGUACACUAUCACUACCUUAUACUAGCACAGAGUGAUAUUUUGAGCAUUUAGACUAAUUUUCCAAUCUUAAUGCACCGAUUAUAUACUCAAAAGGUACCUAGGGUAAAGUUUUGCAUUGGCGGAACCAUAGCUGUACUAAAAUGUUCAUCUUUCAUGCCUUGAUAGAGCCCUUACCAUAACAUGCUCUCUGCUCAAUUUUCGACUUAUAGGUGUGGAUGAACAGUAGAUGAGGUUACAGUAUAACUGUUUUCAAAGGCUUUGACAAGCUAACGCGCAAAACCUGGGAUCAUGAUUAACAGAAGAAUAAAGCAAGAAGGACAUUGUAUACGAGAGAGGAAAUACUUUAGAAGUUGUAAUGAGCAAUCACCUGAAGUUGGCAUAAUUUUAGAAGAUGGAACAAGCCUUGGAAUGUGCGGUGGCUUGAUAUCUCUUGAAUCGACAACAACCACAUCAGCUGUGAGAAAAACCUUUGCAACAGAAGCAGCAUGCUCUAUGCAGCAUCUAACGACCUGCGCCGAGUUGAGCAGAUAAUUUAAGAAUGCGCAAAACUUUUUGGUAUUCAGAUUCAAGAAUUCAUGUAUAUUUAGUUAAUCAAACAUAAACAAAGGCCUUAUACUGAACAUGUAAGGCAAAGUAUUUUAUGCUUUAAUGAUCAAAAGAAAAAGAAAAAAAAGAUCUAAUUGUCAAAGUUUUUGUAUACUACCGUCUAACAUACAUGUAUAAUUGAGAAGCAUUGCUUGAUGGAAGUUUAAAUGUAAAAUCAUACAAAACAAUAUAGUUACUAGUUAGAAUCACUUUGUUCUCAUGCUUACCUUGGAUGGAUCUAAUAUUCCAGCAGCCAUCAGAUCCUCAAAACAGUUUUUGGCUGCAUUGUAGCCAUAGGUCAUAUCAUUACUGGACAGGACCUGGCGACAAAAUAAUAAUAAUAAUAAUAAUUUUGUACUUAUUAGAGUGGAAAAUAAUCUUCACUAUCAAACAUAUGCCUUGUAGAUACUUGUAGAAACCUUUUCCACUACAAAAUUUCCAUUCACACCAGCAUUUUUUGCUAUUAAUUUUGAAGGAUAAGAUAAAGCCUGCUUAAAGAUGUCAGCACCAAUCUGCAGAAGCAAAAAAAAGAAUAUCAGAAGCGAGCUCAGAGCAUUAUUUCCCCAACAAUUAUCAUGAGUUUUAACUUUUACAAGUUUUAUACUUGAUUAGAGGGUUUAGGUUUCAAAGAUUACCUUUAUAUUGUGUGCAGAUUGGGAAUAUUUUUGUUUAGAUUUAGUUUAUAUUUUACAUAUGUUUACACUCACUCCGUAUUAGGGAAUUAUUUUUCCUAUCAAAUAAUUAAGAGAAAACAGAGAGACCGGCACCUUCUGCUCCUCGUUAUCCAAAGAUUCUUUGAUACUGUCCACCUUCAUAGAUAACCUCAAUAGGCUACAUCCACCACCAACAACAACACCUUCCUCAAUAGCUGCCUACAAAUAGAAGCAUUUGUGGUGAAACCAAACAAUGAUGAAAAGAAUAUGACUUAAAUUUAACCUACCUUGGUUGCAUUAAGAGCAUCUUCAAUUCUUAGCUUUUUAUCUUUCAAUUCGAUGACUGUCUGUGCACCUACCUGUCAAUUACUUUGUAAAGUCAACUCAGCACAUUGUAGCACCAUUUCUACACUUUCUUUUGUGUCUACCAUAAAAGAUCAGAUAAGAAACAUAUCGAACUCAAAAUACUUCAAAUGGCACACCUGAAUAAUUGCAAUCCCACCAGAUAGCCUUGCUAUUCUUUCAUUCAAUAUUUUCUUCUUGAACUUCUCAUCUGAGUUCUGAAAAGAGAAGAUGAGCUGUGAGUUGACAAUUAAAUGAGGGUGACAAGGAAGUCUAGUAAAGAGCAAGAUGUGAAGAGCAAGAUGUGAAGUAUAUAACUACAUAAGUCUCAGCAAACUGAGAGGAUCUAUGAAGUUGAGGCAAGAAAUCCUUGCGCGCAGAAUGAUAAUUGAACCAGAACAAGUUUCAUGUAUUCUCACAAACCAAGCGAGGCAGGCUAAGCACUUGUACCUCAGCAAGACUUCUUAACUGAACAACCCUCUUUUCAACAGCAUUUUGGGUGCUUCGAUCAGUAACAACUAAUGUCGAGUCCUUUGUAACCACCACCUUAGCUGCACAACCCAAGACUUCUUUUCCAACCUUUUCAAGAGUCAGUCCCAUCUCAUCUCUUACUACUUUACCUGCAAAAUAAUAAACAAAUCUGAAGAAAAAAUGGUAAAGAGAGGUCAAAUAUAACACAAGAAACUCAUAAAGAACUUCCUCUGAUUUGAGACGAACUUUAGCAGCUUUAAUGUACAUAAACUCGAGACUACUUUAUACCUCCUGUCAAGACAGCAAUGUCAUCUAAGUAGUCACUCUUGCGCUGUCCAAAAGCAGGAGCUUUAAUAGCAGCCACCUUUAAAACACCUUUUAGCUUGUUUCUUAUUAUAGGAGCCAAAGCUUCUUGUUCGAUAUCCUCUGCAAUAAUCAGGAGCGGAUACUUUUCUUUUACAGCACCAUCCAAGAUCUUAAACAUCUCCCUCACAUUUGUGAUUUUUUUGUCAACCAAAAGUAUCUGUGUAGAAUCGUCGGACGCUGCUAAUUACUUGGUGGAGUAAUACAAUUUUCAUGAAAGCAAUUUAGUACUCACCCUGCUGUUGUUGAACUCCACAGACAUGUUGGUGCGAUCAGUAACAAAGUAGGGCGAGAGAUAGCCACGAUCGAAUUGCAUCCCUUCAACAAUCUGCAAAUGGUUCUCGGUGCAUCUUCCAUUUUCGAUUCUCACGAAACCUUUUUUUCCAACUCUUUUAAGGGCAUCUGAUAUCAUGCUUCCUACACUGUAAUCAUUCCCAGCGCUAACUGCUGCAACAUCAGCAAUUUCACGGUCUUCAAUCUACAUGAUACGAUUCCUAUAAGGUCACGUGUCCCAAAAAUCAUACCAAAUUAUGUGCGGUGAACAAAGAACUAGAGCACCAUAUAUAGUGACUAAUUAAAUGUAAACAGACUUUUUUUAACAAGAUAAGUAGAUAGUUUUCGAAUUUCAGUGAAGUGCUCGGAAACAAUAAAGAAGCUAAAGUAAACAUGUAAAAACUUCCAGAUUCCAAGUGCGGCCGCUACCUAACUAACGGAUAUCCUCGCUAGAUGAUUUAUGCAAUAUGACCAAAAGAAGAAAAAAAAUGAAUAGAUUGUACCUCCCUCGUCAUCAAUCUAAGUUCAGAGACCAAAGCCGUAGCAGUCUUCUCGAUCCCGCGUGCAAUUUGGACCGGAUUCAUUCCUGCAGCGAGUACCUAAUUUGUGAAAAUAAUCAUAAGACCAGAGCUACGACAGCAUUAAUAUUUGUUGUUAGGAAUGGCCAGAACGUUUUAUAUCCUCUACAGUUGCUCCGUUGCACUUCAUAAGGAUCUAAAAGAAGGGAAGAGAAGAACCAUACCUUUACUCCUUCAGAAAUUAAACCUUGCGCGAGGAUGAUAGAAGUAGUGCAACCGUCACCGGCAAGAUCGUUUGUCUUUGCUCCAGCCUGUCUCACCAAUUUGACACCAAGAUUCUCCAAAGGGUCCUCCAAUUCAACCUUGUUCAAUUGGGAAACAAAGCUUUAGUUUUUCCGGUAAACUCUUAUCUCUUUCUAACAGUGAGUUCCUCCAAAGAACUUUCAUUCAGUUAUCUACUGGAUUGAAUUUCAUUCCAACUCCAAAUCCGCGCACCAGCAUACCUCCUUGAGUACAGUCUCUCCAUCAUUAACAAUCUUGGGAGGGCCAUACUUGUUCUGCAGCACCACAUUCCUGCCCUUUGGGCCCAGAGUAACCCCAACCAACCGCGCCACCAAGUCCACUCCAACCUACGAUUCGUUGAAUAUAAAAUACCGAAACAUAGAUGAAACAAAAUUCCGAGUUCAAGCUUUUCCAGAAUCCUAGCCUCAUGAAAAUUUCCUCUCAUUUAAGAACUCGAUUAAGAGGGAGGGAGGAAUGAUUACCUGGAGCUUCUUGGUCACAGAGAGGUCGCGGUUGAAGUGGAGCUCCUUAGGGGUGGGCUUCGGAGGGGCCCCUCUCCCUCUCCUGGGAGAGAAAGGCAUCUGGGGAUUAGUGGUGAGAGGAGAUGGAGAAAAAGAUGACAUUGUUUCAGUUGCUCCUCUGUUCUGCUGCUGUAUGUUGUGGGACUUGAGACUUGAGAGCGGGGGGUUGGGAGGGAGAGGGUAGGAUAAGGGACUGGAACGCCAAAAGGAGUGGGUUCGGUUUCAGGCGCCAAAAAUAUCUCCAAAAUUAUCUUCGUUAUGAUGAGUCAUACAAGCAAGAUCUUCUACUUGGCCGUAGUUUUUUCUUGGGCUUUUUCCGAUAACCUGACAGCUCUAUUUUUGAAGGGUCUGGUUUUGGCUUAGAGCCGUGACCUUUAAAAUCCGCACCACAGCAACCUGCCAAUUAGAGCAAUGUACUCGAUCAAAAACAUUUAAAUUAUUAUCAUUGUUUUUCUUUUAAUGCUAAUCAGAAGCCUUUAAAAUUCAGGAAAUGUCCUCAGAAGCUAUCAACAUUAACACAUUAACACUUCAAGAUGAACAUUCUAGAGAAUCCAUAAAAAUUGACUUAAAUGUGUUGGCAAUUUAAGGCCAAGCUUAAGCACGCAGAAAAAAGAAAAAAAAAAAAAAUUAGCGGCAAGUUCACCAAACUUACCAUUUUGAUUUUGUUACUAACAUCCAACCUGUAAUAAUGCAUACAGUUAAGUUAGAACAACAGUUUAGUUGGAACACACUAGAUUGCCGGUUUCAAAUAGAGAUACAUGAUUGAGCAGCCAAAUAAAGUAAUGAAGCAACGAGCAGAAAAUUACACAGGAAAAUUACACUCAAACGAUAACAAAUAACUCAGUACUUCUCCCUUCUACUGUACACCUGGCGGUUUAUUUGCAAUUGUUGUUAGUAUAAGAAUGACAGCUAAUGUAUAGUGGUUUCAGAGCCCCAAAUUACAAAGAGACUAUUUUUUGGUUAUGCCUCAUUGGGUCGGCAUUUAAUGGUAGUUAAAUGAAGCGGCUCCUGUGGAAACUCGAACCCAGGAUGGUACCAUUACAACUGCACCUAUUAUUUGGUGAUUGUGCAGGCUAAGUAACAGUCGACAACACGAUCAAUCAUGUUGAAAAUCAGCUCCAAAAUGACACAUGAAAAUCAGCUCCAAAAUGAAGGAAUAUGCGGCAAAGAACUAGAAAGCUGCUUUCCACCCUUGUCAUACCAUCAGCACAUUCACCGAGAACACCCAAAUACUUAAACUGGAAGACAAAGAAUCGGCAUUACUGAAGGGCUAGAUGAGAAUAUUCCUAAUGGCUCGUAUAUAGACGUUUUCAUCCCCGUCGCUGGAUGUAAUGAAAUCAUCGCCUGCACCAGGUGCACGACAAAUAUAUCCCGCCCGCUGACAUUCUGCCAUUUUUCGUAAUUAUCAUUAGUCUUCAGGACCAGUACGGACCUUUAAGAGAGCCAUAAGAAGCAGCAAGCCUUCGUGCCCAAAAACUCUCCUCAGGUGACCAGGAUAUUGACGAACCAAGAACAGCACACCAUCUGAGAUUAAGGAGAGCUGUUGCGAGAAACUCUUCAGAUGCUUUAAAUGCAUUGAUGAUUUUUAAUUCGGCAUCUGGGUCUUCACUGUGGACAAGAUCCUCCAAAGAAGCCCUCUUUUCGCAAAGAAUAUCUUCAGAGAUCAUUCGGAUGCUUAAGACCUGCAAUGCCUCCAUUGCUGUAGUAUGCAACUCACACUCCACAUAUGCAGAGAAUGUGUACCACAGAGUUGAAGGAUCAGGUUGGAUUUUCUCUCUAUGCAUACGCUCAAUAACAUGCUCAAUUAUAUGAAGUCGUCCCUGACAUGGUGAGAUUUAAAUAAAUUUAGAUAAGGACAUAUGCUUUAUUAAAACAAAAAGGCUUGAUAAAUAUAAUAUUGCAAGAUAAGUAGGCACUUUUGCAUAUGCUUCUCGAAGUAUUGUGUUAAAUAACUGGACGUCAAGCUGAAUUCCUUCAUCCUUCGCUUUAUCCAAAAGGCUCAUUGCACCAUCAAACUCUUCAUUUGCCAAUAGGACCUGAGAAGAAAUAGAAAAACAAUUGCAGGUUUGAAUGCUUCAAAUUUUCUAUGCAACUCUCAUUCUAUUAUUCACUCAGACCCCUUUUUGGCCCUGGUCCUCAACCGACAUCAACUCUUUGAGGACCCAACCCUCACCCAGACAUAAAGUGGGAAGAUCCAAAUUUAUUUCCACAUUUCUCCUUCGCAGUUCCACUAGUAGUGGUACAUGGACCCACCCUUACUAGAUAGUAUCUCUAACUAAAAAUCAAUCAGAAAGAAAAUACCGUGUUACAUUACCCUACGUGAAAGAGACAAAUCCCAAUGAACCUGAUUUUGUUGCCCUGGAACAAUUUUAGGUGGCAAUAGUGCUAACUAAAGGCUAGGGCCUAUAUUUAAGGAGAUGGGAGCUAUGAUAGUCAUAUUUUAUUUUUAUAUUUUAGCUUGAAAGAAAAAUGGCACUGAACCAUCCCCUGCUCUUUGGUGCAUAUGUUAAAUGUCAAUUGAAACAUCACUCGUGGGUAAGAGAAUUACAUAUGGUACAAGAGAAGAGAGAACCCGUGCAAAUAUUGUCGAAUACAAUCCAGACCAAUAUAUUUAGCUUGUAUUGAAGGGAUAUAUAGAUCAUACCUUCAUAAGUGCAGUGUAUGUCAAAGUUUGCGGACAAAAACCAUCCCGAUACAUCAGGGACAGCAAAGCACAAGCAGAUCUAAAACAAGUCAGCAUACUGCAACAUUCAAUCAUAAUGUUGUAUAUUGCAACAUUGGCUGGGAGACCGCAGGCCCUCAUAUUCUUAAAGACUCUGAUAGCUGUGUGUGUCUGCAUUGAUUGACAUUUCAAUGGUGUAAAGAGUUUAUCCAACAAUGAUACUUUGAUAAGUAAAAUAAAUAUAAACAAAGAAUAGACACCAAAGAGAAGAAACGAAAAGCAGCGAAGUGCAUACAUCCUUAGACUUAACUAGCGCAUGCAGGACAGUGUUAUACAUAUCACUGUUCUGAUAAGGAUCUAUGUGCCAUAACAUGUUCUCAGCAACAUUUAAGUAGCGCAGCAUCUCCUGUAUCAUGCCCUCAGCUCCAACAGCUCUUAUCUGAAACAAUAAGAUGUCAAAGGUAAAUCAAUUAUGAUUAAUUAUGAAAUGAAAGGUCUUGUUUCAAUAUAUUUCACCAUUUGGGAGAAAAAUCACACAUAAAAGACAUACUAACAUGACAAGUGGAAAAGCGGGAGAGCAAAAUAACCAUAAUAGCAAAAGCGUAGACCGAAUAGGCCCUGUACAAUGAUUGUAAGCAGCCAAAAGCACCAGAAACCUUCUACUGAUAUUUUUACUGUAGACGGUAUACAUAGUGACAGAAAGCCACUCAAUGCUAUGAUAGAUAACAAUACCAAAAGUGACAUGAUAAUUGAUGGUUAUUUGCUUUAGCAGAUUUUAUGUGCAUAUCACAGAAUUGUUUGUAAUAGUGCUGCAGUAGCAAUAUGACAUAUAAUUGUCUGUGUUUCUUGGAAAAGACACCCCCCCCCCAAAAAAAAGAAGAAAAAAAGAAGAAAAAAAGUCAACAGGAUACUGCACCUCAUUUAUCAAUUUUCAGACAGGACUAUAUAUGCAAGAUUCGCAAAAUGCACCAACUGCAUACUUCUUUAUUGAUAAUUAAAAAGACAGAGAGCAUAGUAAAUAGAUUUUCCAUGACAAUAUUGCUUAUAAGCUGAAGUCAAUCUAAAGAUUUUGCUUGCUUAGCUUUAUGAGAAGGAUAGACACAAACAGGAAGCGAGGCAACAAUACCAGAUUCUUCAUUGACACAAAGCUGUGUUGAAUUCCAUUCUUCAACAUGUCCAUCUCAAUGAGGUGUAUCCUUCUAGCAACAUCAGCAUGUGAUAGCAUAUUUCCUUUCUCGUAAGGGACAUUGACAUUGGCAAACAAUGAAAACAUAAGCUCAUAGGUUCUGAUAUUUAAUUUGAUAUUGAAAUGCUUUAUCCUGGCUACUAUACGGACUGCCCGUUCUGGUUCAUUCUGCAAGAUGAUUUGAAAGGCUUGAGAAUCCUACUAGAUGUAUGCAUUAAUCAUAAACAGAAAUCUACAGGAUCCUAGUCAAAAUAAUGUACUGAAAUGCAAAGCAUCUUAAGCUGAAAGGACAAUCUAAUUGUACUUUGUUGAAAAAAAAAUGAUGAUCUCAUAUAACUUAAUGUUUAACAAGGAUAUAUAGGAGGAACCCAAUACACAGGAACAAAUUAAGAAACUCUUCAAAGGCAUUCCAAGAAGGUAAUUAGUUUACCAUAACAUCACAGGCAGCAAGUAAGGCAUUAAAGGGAUUGAUGAAUUUUGGUAGACUAUCCGAGAGCUUUUCCAGACAGGACUCGGCCAAAUCCAGAUCUAAAUUUCUGCUAUGACCAAUUGAGAGAGCAGCAAGUGUAUCGUUAUAAAGCUCAAUAUUCUUUUUUUCCAUUGAUUCAACCUGAAAAAAACAACAUUCCGCAUAAAUCAUAAAAACAUAAUAUAGGACCCUCUUUCUUUACGAAAACAUAUAAUUGAAUAUUGAAAUAUUGUAUUGUGCGCUGGCAAUAACUGCCAAUUCAAGUUCCAUAGUUUAUGUUUAAGAAAGGACAGGGUAUGACCCAGCUUAGGGUACUUUAGUUUAGAAAUUUGAUCUUGAAAGCAACGGCAAUACCGGGUCAACGGAGAUAGACAUACCACUUUCAUGCCAUAUGUUACUCCUUUCCCAGUAAUAACAGCUUUAACAAAGCCAUCAUAAGUAUAUCUUGAAGGUAGCAAUCCAACUUCGCGCAUCUAGAUUAGACAGUAUUAGCAAAAUUAGGUUUGAAUAUGUAUUAUUAAGGGAAUCAAAUGCUAUUUGGAUAUUUCCGUGUUACAAAUCCAGGAAAAGAAUAGUACAAAAAAGAAAAUAAUAAACGGUACAAAGUUGCUCGACAUAAUUACAAAAUUCCUUCACUGGGUUGUAAUUACAUUAAUGUGAUUUCUGCCACUAGGUUUUAAAUUAUAAAUUUCAAACCUAGUUUGGGAUUGUGAGCCAAUUUGGUCUGAACUGAGAAUGAACUCAACCCAACUGUCUCCAGGUGUAGCUCUGCUCAUGGAAUCAAAUAAAGCCUAAAAUAGAAAUAGAUACCAAGACAGACAGAUAUCUGGUGUGCAUGCUUAGUACAACUGUUUCAACAACUGGCAAAUGGCAGGAUAAAUAAGGACGGUUCUACUUCAAAAGACAGUUUAGAAGUUAAAUACAACCCAGAACAAAGCCAAUAUGAUGGAGAGGAUCAACUAGGUUAAAAUCAAGUAGUUGAGGCUAAAAAUUUACAUGCUACUUUUCUUGCUUAGAUAUACGGAUCUGAUUGUUCAAUUCACAUUUGCCUCUUAUUUCUUAGUCUGUAUAAGUCCACAUGAAUGUGCUAAUUUCUUUUGUGGGAUGGAUUUUUUGGGUUUUAGAACCAAUAAGUGCAAGAACAUAAAGAAACAACAACUUUCAAAACUUUAAGCAUCAGAGACCAAAUAGAUAAGUAUAUUCAUAUUCUUAAUAUGAAUAGGAAAAGCAUAUUGCAAACAAUGGCCUGCAGAAUCCAAUGGAACUAUACCUGCAAAAACAACUGCUCAGCUAACUGGCAGUUAUUAAACCGUGCACAGGCAUGUAUCAUAUCAUUAUAAGACCAUCUCAAGAAAUUCUUAGUUGGUAUAGAUGCCUUUUCCAACAUCUGUGCAGUACUUUCAAUGUAAAAUUCACUUUCCACCUGCACUGCAAAAUUCUAAUUAUCAAAUUAACAGUAGUGCCAAUGUAGUUCAAAACAUUCAGGGUACACAUACCUUAUCUAGCUCGUUGAAAGCAAUUUCUGAGUGAGAAAAAUCAACAACUUCUUGCUUUUCAUGGUUUACUUGAAACGCUGGCAAGGGCAAAUUUGCAUGUGAGAAAAAUCUGAGUCCUGAUAAAUCAUUCAUUGCAGGAAUAGGAAUAUCUAAUCUUGAUGAUUGGUACCGCCUUUUGGCAGAAACUGUAAGAGUGGCACUGUUUUGCCCAGCAAGGGUCACCAUAUAUUGCAAUGUCUUGUGUGCAGAUUCUAGAUCACCUAAUCUAGUGAGGGCCUGUAUAAAUUUUCGUAGUGUUAUGAUGCUUGGGUUAUAGUACCUAGUGCAAUCCUCCCAUAUCUCAUAAACUGCAGAAAGAUUUUUCUGCAACACAGCAAGCUGCAAAGGACAAAAUAUAAUCAUGACAAUUAAAGGAAGAACAAUAACCAAGAGAAAACAUGUGGUAUUCAGAAAUUAACAAAAUUCUGAAACAAAGAAUCUCACAUUAUCUCCCUAUGAUCCAAGAACAAUGCAAGUAUUUGACAGAAGGAGAAAGAACAGCUCAACCAUCAAGGAACUAAAUAUUAUUGUACAAUAAUAGGAGAUCAAGAACGCAACAUAAAAGCAGAUGGGAUUUCUUCAAUAAAAGACUAACAUCCAAAUUCCAAGUCUAAUUUUCCUCUACAUCACAAGUUUGUAAUACACAGGCCUGGUUUUUAAGAUAGAAAACCAAAAUCCACAGAAGAGAGUGCAAAUUUUUUUUUAUUAGCAAGACAAAAUUCAUAACUUCAUACACAUGUUGUCAUGAUGUGGAAAAUGUUUAAUUACUAGAGAUGACAACAAGCAAUAUAGCCUGUGAUUCAUAACUUCAUCCAAAGCUUGGUGUCACUAUAAUCCCCUGAUUGGCUUAUGAUUCAAACAACCAAAAAUUGACUAGCCAUUACGCAUAUUCAAUUGUGAUAAUGAUUAUCGAAACAGACUACAGGUUUUGCAUGAAACAUUUUAUGGGCCACAUAUGUCAAAGUCUUCUGUACUCAUUGUAAGAUUCAUUAUUACUAAAUCAUCUUUCUGUUUAUUACAAACCUUAAGAAGUUCCCAAUAAGUUAUUUCAGACUUCCCUAGAAGGUGGCUUUCCAUUUUCUCCAAGCAGGCCUCAGCAUAAUUCCGAUUGUGUGUACUUCCACAUACACUUAAGAAAAUAUUAAACAUUGAAAGAGAACUGCACACACGGUCAUUUUCCCCAAGAAAAGCCAGCCAAUUAAGUGCCUAAACAGAAAGAAAAGGAUUAUCAAUAAUAUGAAAGCAGAUUAUCUCUAGAAAAAACGCUUCAGAUGUAACUCACAACUCUUGUGCAAACCUUGAAAGCAAAUUGAACAGAUAUAAGUUAUUUGCACGCAUGAUAGAAAAAAGAUUUUGAAAUAAAUGUAAUAGAAAUGGCAAUGAACAGGAAAUUCAAAUACUCGAAGAGAAUGUACAAGCCAAAUUUAGAAAGCUAUUAUUUGUUAAAUUACAUUUCAAAUACUCAGCAAGUCUAAUAGCUGUGUUUCAAAAGAAUGUUCACCUACCUCCUUAAGGUAUCCUCCUUUGGUGAAGGCUUGGAUGAUGGAUCUGCAACAACUUUUAUUCGGAUCUAUUGCAUUUUGCUCCAUGACUUUCCAUGUCUCCAGAACAAACUGAUACAAACAUCCAUUUUAAUAAAAAUCGUACAAAAUAAAAUGCAUAUUUUGCACAUAAGUUCCAAGAAACCUACAAUAUGAAGUACGUGAAAAGUCAACAAGAAUGGCAAAGAGAACUACUAUUGCAUUCUAUAUAAUUAACCAAAGAAAUAAAAUAUGAAAAAGGAAAACCUUCCCAAGCAACAAAAUUACCCAACUUUGCCUCCCUAUUGCUGCAAAGUAGGGGGGUGCCAGGUUGAAAAUAUUGAAAGCAUAAGGGAGCAUUAGACCAUUGUUUCAAAUAACUCGUGGUGAUUUAGAAACUUUUACUAAAAGUUUCUUCAAUGUGAAACCAGUGGAAAGGGAAUACUGGAUAUUAAAAUUAAUGGUUUCCUUCUAGCAAAAGUGACCCUAGGAGUCUUUCCACAGAAUUUGCUUAAUAAGAGGUGUUUGAUGUACACAUUUAUGGUUGCUCAGAUCACUAGAUACUAGGCAAAGAACAAGUAAUAGAUAACAAAACAAUUUUCCUCGGCCCCAAAUUCGUAAUUCGUCCCGCAUUAAAAGGUGUUAGAAUUUUGUUUGCCGACUAAAGAAACAGAUCGCUAUCAAUAUAUAUCAUCAUAUCUUAUAUAGAACCUCCUUAACUCAAAUUGUGAUCCAACUGCCUCUACGUUUUUCCUAAAAAGGAAAUAGAGAAGAAAGGCAUGAAGUCGUGAAAAGAAAUAUGAAGCCACUAAAAACAGUCUUUCUUUCAGUGCAAUCUCUUGUAAGACAAAGCAUAUCCAGAAAUAUCAACAAGUUUAAUAGCCUUAUGGGUUUCUCCAAAUCGAACACUAAACCAACAGAGCACAAAUGCAGCCAAAAGAUACACAGAAUAGUUCGUCUGAUGUUUAAUGAUUGAAUAUCCCAAGCAAUCAAAGUCACCAAUAAAACCAAAGUUUUCUGGUGAAAAGUUGUUUCUCAUACUAUAUUAAAUGUGCAAAUGCUAAUUUCUCAGUAUCUCUUUUCUGAAUUUCAUUAACAAGUGCUUCAAGUGGAGAGAAGAAGCACAGCAUUUUACUUAUCUUAUGACAUGUAGUCAGAAGAAGAAAUAAGUAUCUUGUUGGAAGUAAACUCACCAAAGGAUCAGCAGUAUCUGCACAGUAUUCAAGAAUAUAAGAAAAAUCUUGAGCAGUUAAACAGCCACUCGCAUGACCUAGAUUCAAAAGCAUCAUCGAGGCUUGCUCUCUUUCUCCUCGACGAAGAGCAUUGACAACUUGUAGCUGUGCAAAUCUACUCACCAACUUUGCUCUCCAUCCAAAAUGAUCAUAAUCUGCAAGUCAUGGCAUCAUAUUGUGCAGCAUGAUAAAAAAUAAAAUAAAAAAUAAGCACGUCUUUAUGAAAGUAAGGCACUUAAAUUGAUCCUACAAUCCACCGAGUUAAACAUGUUUUGAUAGAACAAAUAUCCCAACUGUACAACUAUGUUUAUUUGCUAAAAACAGAAGCGUGAUGAUAGGUUGCAGAUUACUAUCCUCUAGUCAGAGUGACGCGCCUACAUUUUUUCAACUUUCAUCAUGAGCAUAAGAAUAUCAAGAUUCCCCACAGCAGCUAAACAUAGGAAGGCUUCCUAUAAUCAACCAUGUAUCUACAUAAGUUUUCUCAUUUGUCGACUCUCGAAACCAGAACCAAAAAAAAAAAAAAAAAAAAAAAAAAAAAAAAGUGAACAGAUAUCCCAGAAAAUAAUGGAAAUCUUUUAUAACAAAAUGACAUACUAAAAGUUUACAAAUUUGUUACUCAGGAUAGAAAGAACAGUUCUUGAUAUAUAAAUGGCUAAAACAUUUACGAUAUUGAUAUCUACAUUCCGACACUUCAAAAAGAGCCAAUCUAAUUUACUCUAAACAGGUAAUCAAUGUACAAAAACCAGUUGCAUAAACAAAGUACAAGGUUCUUUAAUGCCCUCAGAAGAAGUGUAGCAAUAAUACCAUGAGAGCCAUCGGUGUGGGACGUCGACUGUAAUCUAGCAGUAGGCUUUGCUUGUGCCUAAAGAAUCCAAAUUAAUAGAUCAAUUCGAUGGCUAUUCUCUAUAAGACUGCAGCAUUGCAGUAAAAACUCAAUAGCAUUAGAUUGAUGAAUUCAGAAAAAAUAUGAAAAGAAAAUAAAACCGCACUUUUCGUCGCGCUUCGCGAACAUUCGGAGAAUCAAGAGAUCGGCGAGCUGCUCUCCAUCUGAAAUCCAAGAAAGCAGAAUCAAGGAGAAGGUGAUGGCAUAAAAAGAUUGAAUCUGGGUGAUACAAGAAAAACUUACAUGUAUCCACGCAUACUCUUCGGAUAUCUUUCCAAAGGGGAUGAAAAUUAGGGGCAAUAAACGGAUAAAUGGAAACCCUAAUUAAUGGAGAAGGAGGUGUUUCGGCGAGAAAGAGUCGAUCGGGGGCCGAAUGGGAGGCGCGGCGAUUUGGAGUGUGGGUUUGGCCGUUUGGGGGAAGAGGAGGAGGAGGAGGAGGAGAUGGGGAGAGAGGGUUGGGAAAUUGAAAUUGGUCGAGGGACCGUUUUAUCAGACCUUACUAGUAGUCGAACUAAAACGGCUAAUGACGGGGUUGGGCCAGAUAAUGGGCCAAAAGCCCAAUCCGUGGUCAACUCUCACUCUAAUAAAAGUAUUCAAAUGUUGGGCCAAUCCUACAGGCCAGCACGAUUUUUUUUCGUUCUUUCUUCUAUAACCAAAAUUAUUUAAAUUUUAUAUUAUUUUUUAUUUUUUAAAAAAAUAUCUAAAAUCUGUUUCUACUGAAUAAAUAAUUAUUUAGUAUAUUUGUACAUGAUUAGUAUUAAAAAAAUUUUAAAAUGAAAUUUAAAAAGACCCAAAGACGGCUUUAGGCCCAGCACGGUGCAAACUGGUCCACGCCAAUAGCCUUGCUAGGCCUGGGAAGAGGAAUAGGCGGACCAAUACGGCUCGGUGCUGAGAAGGGCCGCCUUUGGGCCUGUGUUGGUCCGGAAAAAUGUGGAUACAGCACUCACAUUACACCUUACGAAUGGGUAUCAGCUCUCAUGUAAUGGCUUACACGUACAUGUUUGUUUUGAUGUCAGUAAUUAGAAUUCUAACAUUUUACGCGGGUGGAGACUUUCAGACCUAGUUGGCUGCUGGUGUAACAUCUGGAAUGUCCGAAACGAUUGUAUCUUUCAGAACAUCCCGCCGAACCCCGGCUUAGCGACUCAGAGACUCUUCCUGCUGCUAAAAGAGUGGGAUCUCCUUCUAGACACGUAGCAGUUUUGGACCCAACAUUUUUUUUUUUUUUUCGGCCUGUUUUCUCUCGGGGCCGUGCUGCCCCACUCUUGUAGUUUAAUUCAUCUGUUUAAUGAAUAAAGCGGGUAGCGUGCUACUUUUUUCUUAAAAAAAACAUUUUACGCGGGUGGGAGAAAAUAAAAAUUAUUAUUUAGUGAUCCACUUGACAUAAUUGAGUCCGCUACGGGUGAGCGUAAACAGUCACUCGCAAAGCUACCAACCGUCCCUAGCUAACACAAGUGGCAAAAGACUUGGUGAUUGGUAUUCGAAGUUUCAAGUUCAAAUUUUAAUUGAUUCAUAUUUUCAACUAGAUUUAUUUAUAAAUAAAAUAAAUGAAGCGCGUAGCAUACCACCUAAUUCUUAAAAAAAAAAAAAAAAAAAAUCACUUGUAAAGCUAACGAAAGAGUUGGAGCACAACUCGAGUUUACACCGACGAUAGUUGAUUAGCACUAGCAUUCAAGUACAAAGAAUUUAAAGUUGUGAUUAAUUUUAUACAGUUCCUUGCAAAAACAUCAAAUAACAGAUAAGUUUUUACAAAACUUAAAUGAUUAGAUUUACCCCUCCGAUUUUUUUUUAUUUAUAAAUAGAUCUCUCCAAAAGUUUUGGUUCAUUCGUGUAUGUUUCCAUCUUUUGAUUUAUCAUUAAUUUUUUAAUAGUGAUAUGUAAAAUAACUAUUUUAUUCUUACAAAUUUGUCACUACAAAAAUUAUCUUUAUUUUUUUUUUCUCUUCUCACCUUCACCGUGGUACAUGCGGCGUAUCUCAUUUUUGCCGCAAUCGAGAAUCUUGCUUUGUUGUUGCCACCAUAGGUUAUUUACUAUUUAGCUAAUUGUAGUUAAUUUUUAAAUUUUAUAGCUCAAAUUUUAUAUAAUAUAUUUGUUAUUUGAUAUUUUUACAGAAACUGCAUAAAUUGUCGCCAGAGAGGCCAUAGCUGCUUGGUGCAAUUUUUCUGGAACCGGACAAAUCAGCCAAGCAUUAAUUACUUGUGAAGUUAAAGGAAGAUUAUUUUUUAUUUUUUAUUUUUUAACCUUAUAUAUUUUUAGUGACAGAGCUUUUCAUAUUCAGUUGUAUCUUCUUUUUUUUUUUCCUUCUUCUUGUGGGGAUGCUCCAUCACUUACUCAUUGAGACCACCUAUACAGUCAGGGACGGAGCUAUUGAGGGGUCUACGGUGAUCAUGGCCCCCUCUAAAUUUUUUAAAAUUAUAUAAAAGUUCUUCAUAAUAAAAAUUAAAAUAUUAUAAAUUUUAAUUUUAGGGGGUCAAAUUAAUUUUUUUCAACAAAAUUUAUGUCUCAAUUUCUUUUCGAACUUCUUGAUCCUUUUCCUUCAACUUUUAGGGCGUGUUUGGUUCGAAGUCGGAAUCGUUAUCGGAAUUGGAAUCAAAAUAAGCUGGAAUCGGAAUCGGAAUGACUCAUUACCUAAUUCUGUUUGGUUCAUCACCUGAAUCGGAAUCGAAAUAAAUUAUUCCCAUUGUCGGUGUUUGGUUCAUGUGGAUAUAAAAAACGUAAUCAAAUUAAUAUACUAACAUUAUCUUUAUAAUAUAUUAAUUUAAAUUCAAAUUAAAAAUUAAAUAUUAAAAAUUUACAUCAAAAUUUUGAAAUAAUGUCAAAAUUUUAAAUCUAUUUUUUUAAAAAAAAAUUAAACUUUGAAGUUAAGUGGAUAAUUCAAAAUAUAAAACUAAAUUUCGAUUUAUUCAAAUUCAAAUUUAAAAUUACAAUUUAAAUUUUAAUUUGAAUCCAUAAAUUUAAUUUAAGUUUGAAAUAAAAUUUGAAUAAAACUUUAUAUAAAUUAAAAUUUAAUUUAAAUUCAAAUUCAUAAGUUAGAUUCGAAAUACUUGAUUAAAUUUUAAUUUUUAAUUUAAGUUCAAAUUAAAAUUUAAAAUUAUAUAUUUAAUUUUUAAAUUUUAACUCAUAUUUUAAUUAAAAAAGUUGAAAAAAUAAAUUUAAUCCGAAUAAAUAUCCAUUCCGUCCGGAUUCAACUUCCAAUCCGGCCUCCUAGGCCGGAUUGAAAAAAAAGGUGAUUGGGAGAUUCCCAUUCCACUCAGGAAUCGAAAUUAGAAUCGGACUCCCGCGUACCAAACACCCACAAACGGAUUUACUCAUUCCAAUUCCGAUUCCAGAGUGAAAAAGAAGCGAACCAAACACGCCCUUACAGUCUUGUUCCUUUUUGGCAUAUUAUCGUUAUCUGUAAAUCUGACAAAAUUUUUUUUUUUACUAUUCGAAAUUGAAUUUUUUUUCUAUCAUAUCUAAAUUUUGGCCCCCCAUCUUAAUUUUUAGUUUCGUCCCUGUAUACAGUGUUGUACCUUAACCUCAAGAGGACAUUAGAAUCUUUCCUUUCAUUACCACUCUGACAAGGAGCAAAUCACUGUGGCCUGAGAGAAGUCCUCUGUUCUCCUACACCUUCGCAAUAACAAAAUUUAUUGCUGAUUAAUAUCUUAGUUAUAUAUAUAUAUAUAUAUAUAUAUAUAUAUAUAUAUAUCAUUUUGCUUUCCAAUUUUCUGGAAUAUUUUUUAUUCUGAGCCAGUUGGAAACAGGUCAAUUUUUCAUCAUUCUCCAAAUAAAAGGAUGACAAUGACAAUCAGAAAAAUCUCAAAAAGGAAAAGAACUAAAUAUCAUAAAUUUAUGGAUUCAUCAUUUUGUUACUUAGUUAUCCGGAUUUAUUUGCAAUUAGUUUCCUCAAUAUUUUCUUGAGCACUGAGAUUUUUCUCUUCUUGUAGUUUCUGCACCAUCUUCUGGAGUUCUGAUCUCUCCUCUCUAAGCCGCGCGUUCUCGUGCAUGAUCCGAUCGCAGCCCCUCAUCGCACGGUUCAGCUCGUCGAGCAGUUGGCGGUUGGCGCUGCGGAGGUGAACCACCUGCGCCCAAAGCUCGCUUAAAUGCUUCUGCUUCCUCAUCCGCGAGCGGCGCGCGGACUCUCUAUUGGAUAUCAUCCUUCUCCUCCUCCUCUCUUCUUCCGAGCUACGGUGGCGGUCGUCUGCCUCAUCGGAAGUCGAGCCGCUACGAAGGCAAGAAACGGUCGAAACACUGCAGGCAGGAGGACUAUGAAGAUCGCUAAAUUCAUGGUUUGGCUGCAUGAUGUGGAUAUUUUGGUUGACGCAAGGCCCGAAUAUGUUGCCAAAGUGGAAGGAGGACAUGUUGUUUUGGGCCGCGUCAUAGUGUGAGCUUUUGAAGGUAGGAGUGUUCGAAGGCGAGAGGUAUCGAAUGCUCGCGACUUCGCCGGUGGGAUGCAUGGCUAGUACUCACAAGGGGAGAAAGGAAAAGCAAAAAAAGAAAGGAGGCCUUUAUUCUUGUUCUACAACUGGCUAUGGAAGGAGGGUGUAAUUUAUAGUACGAAAGGCUUAAUGAGAAGAGGUCCCCACUUCCAUUAGCCUCAAACAGUUCAUCAAUCGUCAAAUACUACUGCGGCAAAAAAUUAUACGACAUUGAUCACUCGUGAGGUAACCGUUUGGUAACGAUGCAUUAAUUAAAUGUGCUAUAUAUGCUAAAUGAAUACAUGGGUAUUUGAAGGAACCCCCAUCAGGGCCGUCGGUUCGUGAUCGGAUGGUUGUUAUGGACCAAUGGGCCCUUAAUUAGUAGCAUCACAUGUAACAGGUGCUUUGGCCAUUUAACUUGCUACUGGUUGGAUAACAGUGACAGGCAUUUUGCAAUGAAUUGAGUAGGGUAGAGAAGAAUAAUUCCAUGGUGCGGCAAAUCCACAACGGAUAAUGGCGUUAAUUAAGAUGUUUAUAUGACUAAUCGUAUAGAUAUAAAGAUGACUAGAGAGCGGAGGAUUGAUAUGAUAUACUAUUAGGUCCAAAUCUAUAAGCUUAAGUUUGAAACUUUGAAUGGUUUUCCAAUAUAUGUGCUUAAUUCUAGUGCAUGUAGUAAUUAUGCUCCGUUUAUUUCCCCAAAUGAUUGAUAAUGCAUGAUUCUCUCAAUGUUGGGUUAUAUCAAGUUAUAACCAAGUUGUGGGUGCAACUUGUUUUUUUUUUAAAAAAAAAAUAAAAUAAAAAAGGCAGGUGACGGAAUAGAAUUAGUUGCUUUCACAAAAGUGAAGGAAUUAUAUAUGAUGACCCGAGAGUCCACUGCGGUGGCGCCCUUUCGCCUCAAAAUGGGAUGGAUAAUUAGGUUCGAUGCACUGCAGGGAACGGCACUAUUUUUUUGAUCAAAAUGAAAAAAUAUAUGGACGGUUCCUAGCGCAAGUGGCAAAAGGCUUGAUAGUUGGUAUUUAAGAUCCCAAGUUCGAAUCCUAAUUAAUUUAUAUUUUCAGCUAAAUUUAUUUCUAAAUAAAAUUAAACGAAAAAAAUAACAUGCUAUCUAUCUCUUAAAAAAAAAAAAAAAAAAAAAAAAAAAAAACAACAACAACGGCCAUAAGUAAUACUUGAUAUCCUUAUCAUGAGUUGUGUCAAGUCUCUGUCUUAAGGUCUUCAUAAAUGUCCUGGGCCAUUUAUUUUUGUUACGGGAUUCAGCUUUUUUAAUCGGUCCUUUUGGUUUCUUUCUUACUCAUCUAUUACUCUUUAUGAAUCCCCAAUGUUUUAAGCUGAUAUGUCAUAAUCUCUUAAUUUUAAAAUUUUUUUAAUUUAGAAUAAUCCAUUUUAUUCUCUCUCUCAACAUACGUCUUUUCAUCUCCCCUAUUUAAUUUUUAUUUAGAAUGAACCAUUUUAUUCUCUCUCUCAACAUACGUCUCUUCAUCUCCCCCAUUCAAUUUUUAUUUAGAAUGAGCCAUUUUACUCUCUCUCUCUCAACAUUCGUCUUCUCAUCUUCCCCAUUUUAUUCUCUCUUUCUCAACAUACGUCUCUUCAUCUCUCCCAUUUAAUUUUUAUUUAGAAUGAGCUAUUUUACUCUGUAUGUCUCUUCAUCUCUCCCAUUUAAUUUUUAUUUAGAAUGAGCUAUUUUACUCUCUCUCUCUCUCCAUCGUUGGUAGAUGUACCAAGUGAGAUACACAAAAAAAUAUUUAAUAUUUUAUUAUUAUUAAUUACUACUAUAGUUUCUACCCGCUGCAAAGCGCGGGACUCUUCACUAGUUGAUGUAUUAUAGACGCAUCCUUGUUAUGAGAAACAUCUAAACUGGAGACAAUUUGUGUCUAGAUUCAAGAGUUUUAUUAAAUGGAGAAAAUUAAGUAUACAUAACUCGAACUCCUGACCUCUUAUUCUAAUAAUCAAAUUAAAUUAGAUAAAUCAACUGUUUUUUUUUUUUUUUUUGAGAGAUAGGUAGCACGCUAUCCUCUUCGUUUAUUUCAUUUAGAAAUAAACUUAGCUAGAAAUGUGAAUCAACUAGGAUUCGAACUUGGGUCUCGGAUACCAACCACCAAGUCCUUUGCCACUUGCUCUAGGGAUGGUCGGUUAGAUAAAUCAACUGUUGUUUUUUAAAAGUUUAGCUAUUAGAGAAUAAUAUUUGUAAUAUUUAUAUUCAAUAAAAUGAAGAUUAUAAAACUGCUAAUCUUUUCAAAAAGCAUCAGUUGGAAAUGCACAGAAGAGUUCAGAGCGAGCUUCUACUUAAGAGUUAAGAGGCUAAUUUGCUUCCAGAGCUGAGUUUCUGCUUCUAGGAUAAGUUCCUGCUGGAUGAAAUACUUGACUAUAAGCCAGGUGCUAGAACUAGCUUAUGUUUGGUAGACCCAAAUGAUGCUAACACUCUCCUUUUUACUUAACACACUUAUAAUUUUUCUUAAUUUUCUAGAAAAAAGGAUUAUUUUAUAUGAUUAAUUAUUGAUACAACAUCAAGAUUUGGAAUUUAAAGUAUGAUAAUAGAUGCAUAUUUGAAUUUCAGCGUCUCUAUAGGCAAGAUAACACGCAUCCAUCUCCCUUGCUUUUGUCAAAUCUUAUUAUAGUUUUCUUAUUCAACCGUGUCACUCGUACUCUAUAAAGUAAAAAUAAUUACUAAUAAAUGGACUUCACAAAAAACAAGAAAUAUCAUAACCCAAAAGAAGCACCAUCUCAUAAUAUCAAUUGAUAAUAUAGGCAAACAGUUGUUGAAAAGGAACAAGAAACAAUUUUUUCGUAUCAACAGGAAAGAGUAUGCUGGAUUAGAGACACUAAAACUAGUAUACCGUACGUCUCGCAAUAAAAUUAUCCACAUCUUUAUUCUGCAAAAAGGAUGAUAACUUCACCAAUUUAUCCGCAUCGCUUCCAUUAUAUUGGUAGACAAAGAAUAUCUAUUUCGUGCAUGAUGUUUCUCACGCUUACAGGUUUCCUACUGUUCAUCUAUAUAUGGCUCUUUUUAUAGUGUAACCGGGCUAUCAUUACAUCGGCAGUAUCUAGUGCAUAAAAUUUAAUGAUUGAUACUUAAGACUUCGAGUUCUAAAUAUAAUGUUUUAUAUAUUUUAAGCUGAGUUUAUUUUUUAUAUUGUGUUUGAUACAAAAAGAAACAUACUAGAAUAAAAAAUUUUGAGUUUGAAAUUUUAUAAAAAUUCUUAUAUUAUUUUAUUAUCUUACAUUUAAUUUAAAUUCAUGUAUUGAGUGGAACCGAUUAAAAAUUUUAAUGUGAAUAACAAACUAAACGAUCUAUAUCCGAAUUAUUAUAAGUUAAUUAUAAAAAAUUAUUAUUUGGGCAUAAACUUAUUCCAGAAGUCAACAAUGUAAAAGAGUCAAUGCUCAUCGUACGAGAUAAAAUUAGUUCUAAAUAAAAUAAACGAAUCAAAUAGCUAGCGUGCAACCUAUCUCUAAAAGAAAAUAAAAAAGAGAAAAAAAAAAAAAAAAACAUAACCUUAAUAUCUAGAUCUUUUUAGAUGUUGUAGAUUGCAUCAAAUAAGUUUAAUGUUACUUUUUAAGGUUCUUAAAAUCGAGUUUGAGGAAACAGGUCUACGGUGGACAAGGUCCAGGCAAAAAUGUAUCCGAAGAUAGCGUUUUUGUCCUGUUGUGCGACACCUGCAUCUCCAAGUCUCCACGUUUUGCCCUGCGGGGAACCGACACCUUUGAUUUCAUGCCGUACCGAAUAUCUCCACCGUCGGAUCAAAAAGCCGAUGAUGGCGUUAAUUCCAUCUCAAUGGUGGUGCGGUGGGUCCCACGUCUAUUUGAAUAUAGAUUUGCUUACUCACGCCCAUGUAUAAUAAUGGGUUAAUUCCAUACAAAUCCUUUCUAACAUAGUAAAUGAUAAACAUAUCCCUACAAAAGUUAAUUUUUAUGUAUUGUUCCUACAAAAGUUUUAAUAUCUUCAAAUAUGGCCCAGCCGUUAGAAUCCGUUAGAAAAACUUAGUUAACCAUAAGUUAAAUACUUAACCCUGAUUAAUUUUUGAUAUUUUUACUCAUCUUAUAUUAUACUGUUAUAACUUUUAGAAUGACAUAUUUGCGAUGGCAAAAUUGAAAAUAUAAACGAUUUUUUAACUGUAAUAAACCAGAGGGAUAUAUUUGAAAAUAUUAGAACUUUUGUAGGGCCAACAAAUUAAAGUUGAAUUUUUUAGAGCUAUAUUUGUUAUUUAUUAUAUUUGUAGGGAUCUGUAUGAAAUUAACCCAAUAAUAUAACUUGCCAUACUUUUAAUUGGUACGUAUUCAAAAUGAGUCUGAUCCUAAAAAAAAGGAAAGAUAAGUAUCUGAUGCGUAAAGCACAGUAGGCUUGUAAUAUAUAGUACGAAAUGAACACAUUAGGAUAAAUUUAGUGAUCUUGAUCAUGCUAUCAGAAAAAACUAAUGCACCUAUAUAUGCAGUGUGCAAUUAUUCCAUUAGGGUGCGUUUGGUUCAAGUUAUCCUGGCAGGAUUACAGGCAAUCCUGUCAGAAUAACUGUGUUUGGUUAAUCCGCUAUGUAAUCUAGUCGUUAAUGUAACAUUACAAAUCGAGCAGGAUUACAUCGAAAAUAUUAACGGGAGGGGGGUCGUGUAUCUUGCAUUACUGAAACCCGUUAAUACUACAUAUUAUGUAAAAUGACAAUUUGACCCUCCAAUAACCCAAAAUCUAAUUAACAGCAUUAUUUUCAUCUCUCUCUCGCCGUCCCAUGGCCCUCUCUCUCGCACGCCGCUUUCUCUCGCUCUCUCUCUCAACGUCUCUCUCUCUCUCUCUCUCUCACACGAACACCUAUCAUCUUCUAUUGCGUCGUCCUCCGAAGUAAUCAUCACGAUCUCCUUCCCUCCAUUCAUUAUUUCCGUAAAAAAUAAUAUUCAAAUGACCACAACAAGGAUAAUUUUGGAAAAAACUAUACUUUUAUGUCAGGAUUACUAAAUUUUAUAAACUGAACCAAACAUAUUAAUACUAUAAAUACUGUAAUCUAGUAUUAUAUUACUGUAUUAAACCAAACGCUCUAAUGCAGCAUUAGUAGUAAUCUCACGCCGAAAUUCAAAAUACCUGGAUAUAUCGAGAUACUUUGUAAUAUUACAUAACUCAAACCAAACGGGCCCUUAUAGUUAAAUUGUACUUUACCAUUCAUGUACUUUAAUCUUCGCUUAGACAUGGCUUUACGCUUUAAAGACAAGUGUCCAUCGGGUUUUUUUGCUUUUAGUUACAACUAAUUAUAAUAGCACGUCUGAUAAAUGAAAGAUUCUUGAAGUUCUUUAACUAAAAGUUAAAAUAAAAAUUUAAAUGUCUAUUUCACCUGUGCUACAGAGAUAAUUAAACUAUUUGGUAGAGAUACUACAGUAGAUCUCUUUUAAUAAUACUAUGUAAAAAGAAGAGAGACAGUCUAACAGAUUUAGUAGGCUGCUGGUAGAUCAUUUGGAAGGUCAGAAACGACUUGAUCUUUAGAAGAAUCCAACCAAAUCCAGAAAAAGCUAUUCUCAAUCUCCAGUAAUUAGUGAAGGAGUGGAAUUCACUUUUCCCAACUUGAACCCUUAACUUAACCUCCUUUUGGAGGCCCAGGAUGCCUCAUUCUUAUAGCUUAGCUCAUUUAUCCAAUGAUUGAAACCGGUAGCGCGCUAUCUUUUUCUCAAGAAAAAUAAUACUAUGUAAAAAGUACUUUUUUUCUAAAUCAGAGUGGAACGAUCCCUUACUCUUUACUUCGCAUUGGUUACUUGCCAUGGAGGGGCACUAGGUUAAAAUGGUGAGCCCCACCUAUGAGCUACACGCCAGGCAAACAGGCCUUGGUGCCGGCUGCACCUCACCCACCACUCGCACCUCAUUCAUGUAUCAGUCAUUUCUGGUCUAUUAAUGUCUCUACUUAAUUACAAACUCAAAAAUUCUAAAUUUCUCACUUCACGACAUAUGCGCGUUGACUUGUUAUAAUACUAUGUACAGAAAAGUUCUAUACGUAUUCCUGCAGCUGUAUAUGAUAAUAUGUUUAAAAUGUUAAAAUUCAGAAUCUUUCAGCGUCAGGGUUAGAUCGUGCACCCACUAAUACAUCCUCCCUUCUCAAAUAUCAUGCGUAUGAAUUUCGUGGUACCAUCACUUGUACCAUAAAACCACACUUUGGCCCCCACCUCUUCCACCACCAAGUCAUUUUACCACCUUUUUUUACCUUUAACUAUAUAUAUAAGGGUUCAUAUUCCGUGCAUUAGCGUGUUAUUGGCCGAGAAUGGAUAAGCCUUUGACGCCUACAUCCAUUACGCUGCUUAAUUUAAUUGGCUACACCAAUUAUUGUUCUCUUAAGAUCCUUUAAACUAUUUGGACGUGUCGUGACUUAUUAGAUGCAAUAAUAAUGUGUUGAACCCUCACGGUUAGAUGCGUGCAUAUCACUUAGGAUCUCGGCGAAAUUUUUUGUGCACUCCCCUUCUUGAUCCAAUUUAAUAAUCGAAGUGCGUCCGAGGGUGACGCAAACUUGCACGCAUGUUAAAGCCGAUUACGUAUCAAUCGAAUUAGGCUCUUAAUCCACUAUCAAUGUGGGUAAUAAAGGCCAUUACGGGCCUCCAAAAGCAAAGUCGGCGACGUCCAAUGGUUUGAGAGGCGCGGAGGGUAAACUCGUUGCCGAUUUCGGCGCGUCAACGUCGUGAGGACGUGGAGAGCCCUUCGAGUGUUGCGGCGUGACGAUCGUGGCUACUUUCAGGUGUCGAGUCCGAGACGCCUCUUCUUUGGUGUUGUGAGAUAGCCCGGCCCCCAACAAAAUUGCAUUGAGUAUAUAUUGUGUGUAACAAAAAUAAUAAUAAUAUUCAAUCUACUUUUCUAAAGGAUUACAUGUAUGAUGCAUAAUUAAAUUGCAUUGAGUCUGAUUAAUUAAAUAUGAUUUUUAUAAUCUAAUUGUAAAAUAGAAAUACUCAGCUUUUUAACAUUGGGGAGCUUUGUCGACACCAAACGAGUCAUAAUUAAGCUUUGCUACAGAUGAUGAAGUGUUGAGGGAUAAGCGACAUCUUAAACUAAGACUUCUUUUGAAAUUAAUUACGGGCACAAUGCGUUAUACAUGACAAGAGAGUUUGGUGACAAAAUAGGUCCAAGAUUUACUUGGACCGAACUCGGGUCCAGCCCACUGGCUCCCUUGCAUGGGCCAAACUUGAAAGAAUGGAUUAGAUUUUUUCUUUACCCUCUUCAAUAAAUUACGUUUUAGAUUUAAUCUUUAGAUUAAAAAAACAACGCACUUAACUUUUUGAAAGCUUACACAGAUGAAACCUAACCUCUAUGGAAAAAGAGAGAGAGAGAGAGAGAGACUUAACCCUUUUGAGGAGGAAAAAAAAAAAAAUGAUAAAAUGGUGGUGUAUUUAGACACAUCAUUUUUUUUUCCAACGCUAUAAUUUGGUAAGAUAUUUUUUAUCUUUUAAGGAGAGUUAAAUACAUGUUUUUCGUAUCUAAAGGACAAACUACAAUAUACGAUGUGUUGAGAGAGGUUAUCUUCCUUUUAGCCUUUCUUUAAUAUGGACUAAGGUUAUAGUUAUUCUAUAUAGUGAUCUUCAUCUUAUUUGGAUAGUAUAGAUAUUUAAAUGCGGCACUAUGUUAAUAUUUGCAAAUUACACCCUUAGUUGCAAAUUACACCCAUUUAUAAUUCUGUCUAUUGAGCAUCUCUACUACCACAAUCUGCGGGAACAUACGAUAAAGUCUCACUCUGAAUAUCAAAUGACAUCCAAUAAUUUCGUUGUUGAUAAGCCCCUAAGGUGUUAACGGUACUGGCUUUUGCUAUCGCGACACAAAAAUACCUCUGAUCUACUAAGGCAACUGUAUUUUCCGGCGGUGCUACGAAGUCAUUACCAUUCUCAAAGUGGAACGUCAUGCUGGGAUAUGCAUUGAACCCCCCAUGCGGAAUCUUAUAACACUCCUCAAAGUCCCGAUGGUGAUGGCGAGCUAGUCUGAAUCGCUGAAAAUACUCUUCGAAGGUAUUCUUGACUCGCUCGUAAGGUCCACCGGUGUUGAAACUGGCGUACGUUGAACCGGAAUCGAUGACGAAACCGCCUUUUAGUAAACCAUGCUCCGACCGCACCCUAAAGGUUCCUGGCGGGAACCCAAUACGACGGUUUGCGAUGCUCACGUCGACAAGGGUAACGAAAUAAUCAAUCUCGCUAUGAACAUUUGCGAUAGGAGCACUUUUAACGUUAGGCCCGCGCAAUACGGCACUCUCACCUAAUUUCAGAACACUCGGGCGGUUGAUUUCUCUGCGGAGACAGUACGCAAACUUACCAUGGGUUUGCACUCGAUUCGUUUGGCUUAUAAACGAAGUGCUCCUUCUGCCAAGUCCGGCAAUGCCCGACACAAGGAUGCCUAAAAGGUGGAAGUUUUGGCUGUCGUGGCUGCAGCCGAUGGCGACGUUAUGCACAAAUUCGAAACCGCCAUGGUCAGAAGCUAAGGCGAGUGUUUCUGUCGCGAGAACUCCCCUUGUUAGUGCCGGUUGUCCGUACCUGUAAGUGUAGUGGCACUGGUGAUUAAUGCAUUGGAACACUCUUGGAUUCCUCAAAUCGCAUAACGGAUGGUCGCACGGAAUCGGGGCAAAGCUCUGUGAGCUUCUCGGGUCGAAAACCAAGUGAUGAGGGCUCCAGCAAUGGGUGCACGGUAAGCAUUGUAGCCACACGAGGCCGCUGGAGGUGUCCAUCAUCAAGUACCGGGCUUGUCCGUGCUCUCGCGCAUGUCGUCGGGUACCGAUUCCAAUCUCCAGAACGUAAAGGCCGGAAAUGAAUUCCACACGAGGUUGGACGCGCGUUGUGUUGUAGUUGAUUGCCGGAGACGACAUUCUCGACUCAAUCGUUUGCGUUCGAAGAAUUGUGUAGUUAUAUAGGCGACUCAUGUGCUCUUCGGCGGUAAGGUUUCCCGGAUAGAGCGGAGAGUGGAUUGAGUCUCUAUGGAUCAUUCGAAGCUGCAGAGAUUGGAUAACAGAAGAGGCUAAUGUAAAAUACAUAACUAAGAAAAGGCUAUACAAGGCACUGGCCAUUUCUUCUAUUAGGUUUCACUCAUGAGCUUGUUGCAACAUCUUGUCUUUUAUAGAUGCAUCUAUAGUGCAGCAUUUACUAUGGAUAGUCAUAGCGGGGGAAUAAAGAUUUAGUGAUAGGUUUGUUGAAAAAGGAACAUAUAUAUGGUGUGUUUCAUUGUAUAUUUAUGUUCGCCAUGGCUUUUUAUUUAGUACUUUGAUGAAAAAGAGAUUACAAAAUCUGUGAAAAUCUUGAGAAAGUUUUCAGGGACAAUAAUUAAGAUCUAUUUCAACUUUAGCCUUAUCUUAUACUAAAUCAGUGGAUAAUAUAAAAAGAUUAAAAAAGAAACUUUUUUAAUCUCGAGAAAAUCUUGAAAAAGUCCAAAGAGCCAACCGGUGGUAGUUAUUUAUGAUCCGGCCCAAUUAUUCAACGGCCCGGACCACCAACUUUGAUUCCACAUCGGUUUAUUUAAUCCACUCAAUUAGGGAUGUAAAACGAGCCGGGCAACACGUGGGCCUUCCGGAUUUAGGCCGGGCCAGGCCAGGCUUUCAGGCUGUGAUGGGCCGCUUUUCUUUGGACCCAACAGUUUGGCAUGGUACGGCCCGAACCGUGCCUCGGCAAUGCCGGGAGAAGAUAAGCGGGCGGCCCUACACGGCACGGCCCGCUUGGGACGUGCUAACCGGCCCAGCACAGCCUGGAUCCCAAGGCCCAUGUCUUGGUCCGAGCUCUUGGGGAGCUCACCUCCCAACGCAGACCUGAUUAUUGGUCCAAUGGACCAGAGAAUUUUGAUCCAUUGGCCCAAAAGCUUAAUUUUUUUAAAAUAAUAAUAAUAAUAAUUCAUAUAUUUUUUAAAAAAAUUUAAAAAUUUAUUAUUUUAUUGUUAUUUUUAUAAAUUUUAAUUUUUUUUUUAAUCAAAACACUAAUUUAAAUAGAAAUAAUUUAUUAUUAUUUUUUUGUUUUUAAAAAAAUUGAAAAAUUAAAGGGCCGGCCCGGAGCAUGGCCCGGGCCGGCGCGGCCUGUGACUUUCGGGCCGGAUUUGAAGAGGGCCGAGCCGGGCCGGACUCUGGCCCGUUUUGGCCCGAUUAAUGUGGGCCAUGCUGGCCUAGUAUGGCCCACAUUACACACCUACACUCAAUGCUAUAUGUAAUAUCUAGUCUAUAAUUAAAACAAUUAGCGCAAGUGGCAAAAUAGCUUAAUAGUUAGUAGUCGAGUCCUAGUUCGAAUUUAUUUCUAAAUGAAUAAAUAAAGCAGGUAGCAUGCUACCUUUCUCUCUUUCAAAAUAAAAAAAGCUAAAUUGUAAAAAAUAAAUUAAAAAAAAACCUCCUUUUGCAUGCGUAUUGUUUUGUACUCUUACCUUUUUCAAUGAUAAAAACCUACAAUAAAGCACCCUCAAUUUUUUUGGACAAAUAUUUUAUAAGUAGUUUUUUUUUUUAAUAAAAAUAUAAGAACGAAUUGGAUGCCCUUUAUACAACCUCUCUUACAAAUUCCAACAAUAAUUAAGUUGUACUUUUUUUAAUUAGUCUAGAAAGAACAACUUGAAUUGAUUUUGCACGACUCGAAGGAGCGGUUCAAUGAUCUUCUAGUAAUUUCACGUGCUAUACAUAUAAUAUAGUUACGAAAUUUCACAGAAAUUGAGCUAGUUGAUUAAUUAAAACAAUUUAAAAGCUUAUGCAUUUUAUUUUUCAUAACUUGGAUCAUUUGUAUUUGUGCUAUUAUUUUGGAGCCUGGCAUGCUUUUCCUUUUUAAAAAUUAAAGUGAAAUUAAAGUAUGUUUCACGUUCGCCAUUCUUGGGCCCAAGGUUGGCUCGAUCGAGAUCGAGUCCAGAGCUUCUUAAUUAGUUUGCUCUCAUUCUCGAAAGAUCGAAUUAAUGGCAACGAUGAACUGGGGAUUUGAUUACAUUCUCUUGCACAGGAUAAUAAACACGAGCUCUAUGUUAAUCUACAAUAUUGAUCGGCAAAAGCUUCACGAGUAAAUUGUAUGAUCAUGCACUGUCUUUUCUUUUUCUUCUUAUUAAGUUAGUAGUGGCAAAUUACAACCACAUAUAAUGCUCUCUAUUAGGCAUCUCUACCACAAUCUGCAGGAAUAUACGAGAAAGUCUCUCUCUGAAUAUCGAAAGACAUCCGAUAAUUUCGUUGUAGAUGAGCUCCUAAGGUAUUAACUACAUUGGAUUUUACUAUCAUGACACAAAAAUAAUUCUGUUCUACAAAGACAACCACAUUUUCCGGCGGCGCCACGAAGUCGUUACCGUUCUCAAAGUGAAACGUCAUACUGGGAUACGCAGUAAACCCUCCAUGCGGAAUGUUAUAACACACCUCAAAUCUGUGAUGGUGAUGGUGAGCUAGUCCGAAUCGCUGAAAAUACUCUUCGAAGGUAUUCUUGACACGCUCAUAAGGUCCACCGCCAUUGAAAUUCGCAGCCGCCGCACCGGAAUCUAUGACGAAACCGCCUUUUAUUACACCAUGCUCUAUCCGCUCCCUAAAGGUACCUGGCGGGAACCCAAUACGAUGGUUUGCGACACUCACGUCCACGAGGCUUACAAAAUAAUCAAUCUCGUUAUGGAGAUGUAAAAUCGGCACAGUUUUAACGUUAGGCCCGCGCAAUUCGGCGUGCUCACCAAAUUUCAAAACACUCGGGCGGUUGAUUUCUCUCUGGAGACAGUAUGCAAACUUACCAUGGGCUUGUGCUAACUGAUUCAUUUGGCCCAAAAACGAAGCGCUCCUUCUGUUAAAUCCGGCAAUGCCCUGCACCUGGGUGCCUAAAUUGUUGAAGUUUCGGUUGUCAUGGCUACAGCCGAAGAUGAAGUUAUGCACAAGUUUGAAACCGCCGCGGUCAGAACCUAAGGAGAGUGUUUCCGUCGCGAGAAUUCCCCUCGUUAAUGCCGGAUCUGCGUACCUGUAAGUGUAGUGGCACUGGCGAUUAACGCAUCGGAACACUUCUGGAUUUCUCAAGUCGCAUAACGGAUGGUUGCACGGAAUCGGGGCAAAACUUCGUGACCUUCGCCGGUCGAAAACCAAGUGAGGAGGGCUCCAGCAACGGGCGCAUGGUAGACAUUGUAGCCACAUGAGGCUGCUAGCAGUGUCCAUCAUCAAGUACCGGGGUUGGCGGGGCGCUUGCGCACGCCACGGUGUGCCUAUCGCAAGCUCCAGAACGUAAAGGAAGAAGCUAACAUGCAGGCGAGGUUGGAUGCGCGUUGCGUUGUAGUUGAUCACGGGGGACGACAUUCUCGACUCAAUCGUUUCGGCUCGAAGAAUUGUGUAGUUAUAUAGGCGAUCCAUGUGCUCUUCGGCGGUAAGGUUUCCCGGAUAGAGCGGAGAGAGGAUUGAGUCUCUAUGGAUCAUUCGAAGCUGCAGAGAUUGGAUAAUAGAAGAGGCCAAUAGGAAAUACAUAGCUAAGAAAAGGUUAUACAAGGCACCGGCCAUUUCUUCUAUUAGGUUUCACUCAUGAGCUUGUUGCAAUAUCUAGUUCUUUUAUAGAUGCAUAUCUAUGUAUAGUGCGGCAUUUAUUAUGGACAGUCAAAGUCAGGGAAUAAAGAUUUAGUGAUUGUUUUGUUGAAAAAAGAGCAUAUGGUGUAAUUAUAGUAUAUUUAUGUGAGCCUUGAUUUUUUCUAAGUACUUUAGUGAGGAAGAGAUUCCAUGAUAUGUGAAAAUCUUGAGCUUGUUGCAGUAUCUUGUCUUUUAUAGAUGCACAGUGCGGCAUUUAUUAUGGACAGUCAUAGCCGGGAAAUAAAGAUUUAGUGAUUGUUUUGUUGAAAAAAAGAGCAUAUGGUGUAAUUAUAGUAUAUUUAUGUGCGCCUUGAUUUUUUCUAAGUACUUUAGUGAGGAAGAGAUUCCAUGACAUGUGAAAAUCUUGAGAAGGUUUUAGAUACAAUAAUUAAGAGCCACUUCAACUGCAGCCCUAUAUUAUUCUAAAUUAAUGGAUAAUAUAUGUAUAAUAUAAGCUAGGUGAAAAAAGCUUUUUAAUCUUAAGAAAAUAUUGAAAAAGUCCUAACAACCAAUCGGUGUUAGGCUGGCUCUAUUUGGCUAAGCCACAGAAAACAGUGCGGUGUGGAAAUAUUAAUUCUAUGUGAAAAAAAAAAAUUUACGUAGGCAUCGGGCAUGUCACUGUAGUUGGCCCUAUGAGUUCCAGUUCAAGCUAGCGAUAGUACCCUAAUCUAAGACCUUAUUUACCUCAUCUGAGAUAAGGUGCUACGCGAGUUUUUUUUGUUGCUUGCUAAGUUUAUUUUUCUUAAUAAAUAAACUAGAUAACUUCCAUCUUUUUAUUUAAAAGCACGAUUUUCACAAAAUUAAAACAUGUUACGCGUCUGUCAUUCUUAGAUCCAAUAUUUUUUCUUUGAGAGAAAGAUAGCACGCUACUCGCUUCAUUCAUUUAGCAGAUGAAUUUAACUAUAAACUGAAUGCAAAGAAAAACUGUGGAGCAAUAAGGCGACUCGUAUGUUCAAUGAUCUUAUUCAAAAACUUGCGCUCCUGGAUCUACCUAUGAUUAAUCAAUUAUUCACUUGGUCUAAUAUGCAGCGUAACCCAACAUUUGCAAAAUUAGACAGAUUUCUAAUCUCGACUGAGUGGGAUGUGAAAUUCCCACUUUCGAAGGUUGAGGCUAUCCCUAGAAUUACGUCGGAUUUACGUCGAAAUUCAAUGGAGCCAAUUGGCUUCUUAGUUCGCUCUUAUUUUUUAUCAAUGUAUUGACAACGAUAAGAUUUCAAAUUACGCCAAUUUGUCUCUGCUCUUUCUUUUUAAAAGCUAAUAAUUGCAAAUUACGCCCAUUAUUCUGUCUAUUAAGCAUCUCUAGUACAAUCUGCAGGAGCGUACGAUAUAGUCCUACUCUGAAUAUCAAAUGACAUUUGGUAAUUCCGUUGUUGAUAAGCUCCCAAGGUGUUAACUGUCUGAGAUUUUCCUAUCAUGACACAAAAACACCUUUGAUCUAUCACAACCACAUUUUCCGGUGGCGCCAUGAAGUCGUUGCCAUUCUGAAAGUGAAACGUCAUACUGGGAUAUGCAUUAAACCCCCCUCGCGGAAUCUUAUAACACACCUCAAAUCCGUGCUGGUGACAGUGAGCUAACCUGAACCGAUGAAAAUACUCUUCGAAGGUAUUCUUGACACGCUCAUAAGGUCCACCGGUAUUGAAACUGGAAUAUGCUGAACCAGAAUCGAUGAAGAAGCCGCCUUUUAACACGCCAUGCUCUAUCCGCACCCUAAAGGUACCUGGCGGGAACCCAACACGACGGUUUUCGACGCUCACAUCGAUAAGGCUUACAAAAUAAUCGAUCUCGCUAUGGAUAUCUUCAAACGGGACCUUUUUAACAUGAGGCCCAUGCAAUACGGCAUCUCGCCAAAUUUUAGAACACUCGGGCGGUUGGUUUCUCUCUGGAGACAGUAGACAAACUUACCAUUGGCUUGGCCUUGAUUCAUUUGGCUCAAAAAUGACGUUCUCUUUCGGUUAAAUCCGGCAAUGCCUGACACAACGCUGCCUAGAGUGUUGAAAUUUUGGCUGUCGUGGCUACAACCGAAGGCAAAGUUAUGCACAAAUUCGAAACCGCCACGGUCGGAAGCAAAGCCGAAUGUUUCUGUCGCGAGAACUCCCCUCGUCAAUGACGGAUGUCCGUACAUGUAAGUGUAAUGGCACUGGUGAUUGAUGCACUGGAACUGGUGUGGGAUUCUCAAAUCACAUAAUGGAUGGUUGCAUGGUACUGGGGCAAAACUUUGUGAGCUUCUUGGGUCGAAAACCACGGCAGGAGGGCUCCAACAGUGGAUGCACGGUUGGCAUUGUAGCCAGACGAGGCCGCUAGAGGUGUCCAUCAUCAAGUAUCGCGCUUUGCGGUGCUCUCGCGCGUGCCGCGGUGUGCCGAUCACAAGCUCCAGAACGUAAAGGGUGGGAACAAAUUCUACGCGAGGUUGGACGCGCGUUGUGUUGUAGUCGAGGGCUGCGGACGACAUUCUCGACUCGAUCAUUUUGGCUCGAAGAGUUGUGUAGUUAUAUAGACGAUCCAUGUGCUCUUCGGCGGUAAGGUUUCCUGGAUAGAGCGGAGAGUAGAUUGAGUCUCUAUGGAUCAUUCGAAGCUGCAGAGAUUGGAUAGCAGAAGAGGCUAAUGUAAAAUACAUAACUAAGAAAACGCCAUACAAGGCUCUGGCCAUUUCUUCGAUUAGGUUUCACUCGAGAGGUUGUUGCAAUAUCUUAUCUUUAAUUUAUUAAUUUAUUAUAGAUGCAUCUAUAUAUAGUGCGGCAUUUAUUAUGGACAGUCAUAAAUAGCCGGGGAAUAAAGAUUUACUAAAAAAGAGCCAUAUGGUGUAAUUAUUAUAGUACAUUUUAUGUGAGCCGUGGCAUUUUCUAAGUACUUUAAUGAGGAACAGAUUCCAUGAUAUGCGAAAAUCUUGAGAAAGUUUUAGAGACAAUAAUUAAGAGCCACUUCUAACUGCAGCACUAUAUUAUUCUAAAUUUAUGGAUAAUAUAUAUAAUUUAAGGGAAGAAUAGCUUUAGAAAAUAUUGAAAAUGAUCUCUCUCAAAAAAAAAAAAAAGAAAAUAUUGAAAAUGUACUCGGCCAUUCUUAAUGGGCUGAAAACAUGAUCUGGCCCAAUUAUUCACCGGCCCGGCCCACAGAUGUGAUUGAUGUGUUCGGGCCAAUUUGAAUCCCACUGUAUAAAUAGCGUUAUCUUAUCCGCUCCGCUCGACCGUUACGUGAGCGUUUCGUUCCCUCCGUGCGACGCUACCACUCUCCUCUCCUCUUCUUCCUCUUCGCGAUGCUGAGAGCGGAGCUCCUCCCUCGGUUCAAACCCUCGCCUCUCUCACCCCGCGCACCCAAAACCCUUCUCCUCUCUCGCCGCUUCGUCCGCAAGAUCCCCCCAAACCCUUCUUCCUCGAUCCCUCUCCCUCUCAAGAACCGCCUCUACAAUCGUCUCCAGUUCCGAUCAAACCCUAAUUUCCAGGUAUUUGAUCCCUUCCUUCCUCCAUUACCGGUCCUUUUGUAGUUCUUUCUUUUACCGGUUUGAUUCUUGCAGGUGAAUUCGCAGAGUUCGUGUUGCGGUGGUUUGGAGAUCGACGCAGAUGAGAUACUGGAUGUAGGGGAUAGAGAUUUGCCCGUUGAUCUCUUCUUGACGCGGACUCUUCCUCCGGCUCUCACGCUUAAAGCGGGGUAUGAGAAGAUAAAGAACGCGAUCGAAGAGCUGAAGACGAAUCCACCCUCUGCCAGUAGUGGUGUCCUCAGAUAUCAGGUAUGGCAGAUGUUUAGUUUCUAAUUAUAGUACUUUUUUUAAUGGGAUUGAUCUAUUCAUAAUGAUCAUUGAUUAGCUGCUUCGUUCUUUUUGAUUUAAAAUUUGAGUCGGUUCUUGAACACAUAACAUAAUGACAAGAAAAAAAAAAAACAAGAAAGUUGUUGUUCCUUUCCUCUUCUCAUAGUGGUCUGUUAGAUGCGAUUAAUCUAUUCAUGAUUAUCAUUGAUUAUCUUCUUUCUUUUUGAAAAAAAAAAUUGAGUUUCCUGAAGAAUUGAAAGGGAGAACAAGAAAGUUUUCUUGGAUUAGAAAGGCUCUGAAUUAUCAUGAUAAUGUAUUCUUGUUCUGGCAAUUGUGCUCUUAACUACUUUAGGCAAGAGCAGGCACCAACGUGUUUGGACUGUAAUGUUGCAGGUACUUGUGCCUCCGAGUACAAAGGCAUCAAAUUGGCUGUACCAUCAAUGCAGGAAUUUGUCAGGAUAUCCACAAUUUUAUAUCUGCACUUCACGAACUCAUGAUCUAUCCCUUGAAUUGGCUCCACGAAAUAAAUUGCUUGAGGUUUCUGGUUUUGGUACUGCAGUUUGUCUGCAUGGUUCUUCUCAUAUCCAAAAAGGAUAUAGUUUGCUGGCAAGGUGCUUUUUCUCUCCCUACCCAUCUAUGUCAGCAUUUUCAUAUUCAAUCUAAGAGCAAACUUAGUUAGAGGGCCAUCUGAAUUGAAGAGUGAUACUUAUCCAUAAUAAUUCUACAACUUUUGGUUUAAUUUCAUUUAUCUUAGAUGUUUUGAAUGCUUCAUCUUGUCAAAAACAUUUAGAAUUACAUAGCUCGUAUUAUUGAAUUUGUCGAUUCUACUUGAAUGCAUUGAUUUCAAUUCGAUAGAAUGUCAUAUCUAGGGUUGUACAGGAAGAACAAUAUUUCUCAUGAUCGGUUGCUACAUUCAGAGAUUAUGGAACAUAACACUUAGAUAAAGUACUAAAAUAAACAAUUAGUGAUCAUAGUCUAUAUAUUUCUAUUUUUAACUCAUAUUUUUACCACCUGCUAAAAUAUUCUAGUCAAAAAUUAAAAAAAUAUAUAUUUAUACAGUCAUGGUACAUUGAUUUACAAAUAUUAUAUGCUGUUUCGUGAGUUCAUUUGCUAACACAAUUGACUCUCUUUAGAUAUCUUUCAAGCGAUUGCCACCUGGUAAGAGCUUAUGGUUUCGUUGAUCUGAAUUUCAACAAGGAGCUAUCUUCAAUGGUGGAGAAAUCUGGUUCUUUUUACCUUUUUAUCCCUCAGGUGAAACCAUCUCGUUUCACUUCUGCAAUGUGUCCACUCUCAAUAUUUUCAUUAUCACAACUUAUUUUAUAUUUGGAUGAAAAAGGGAAAGUUUGCUAUUUAGUUGGAAGAUAUGCUUUCCAGAUUGCCUAAAUAUUCCGAUAGUGUUAGGAACCUGUUUAAUCUUUCAACAGAUGUUAGCCACAUUAUUUCAUGGUUGCUCUGUAUAGUUUCGGCAUACGAGUUCUGAGUUGCAUUUUUUUUUUUGGGGGGGGGGGGGGGCGGGGUGGUUGAUUAUGGCUAUAUUGUUUGAUCAAGUGGUACUAUCAUAUUUAUGCUCAACAAAAGAUAAUGAUAACAAAAUAGUUUAGCAAAUGUCUUAACUAUUUAGUUAUUCAUGGCAUUUUCUUGUUUACGCUAACAGCUAUCUAGUUGGAUAGCUAACAUUAUUAAUCAUUUCUUGCAACAUUCAUUGACCUAAUUUUCAGACCUCAUAAUCCAAUCUCUAUAUAUGUUUCCUGCAAUUUUCUAUAUUUUUUACACAUUGAAAAUUUUAAAAUUCAGCAACUAAGUAAAAAUUCUUAUUUGAGCUAUCUCAAGCUAGCAGACUAUCCUAGCAUAGAAUGUUAGAUAACCAUUUCCACUGUGGCACACAACAUUACUUCUUUGUCUAAGGAUUCAUCAAUUAUCACUGGUAUCAUCACUGGUAAGGAUGCUCAUACAAUUCAUGUUUCAUAUUAGUCUACGCCUCUGUUUGUACAGUUUUGGACUUUGAAUCAGAAUAUAUGGAUUGCAUUGUGGGUUAGUUUAAGCUAUUAUUAUUUGGCAGCAAUACUUCCAUGAAUUGUUCUUGGAACCAGCUUGCAGAUCUUUGUAGGUUAUUCUAUUUGUUAUCUGUUCCGAAGCCUUAUAGCAGUUGAUAGUUCUUUGAAUAGAACUAUGAUCUUGCGUGUCUUGGUCUACUUCAAAAUUUAUUCACAGAAAUUUGGAUUUGUGCAUUGAUGCUUCCUAAAUCGAGUUGUAAACUGCAGAUCGAGCUGAACGAAUUCGAUGGCUGCUCAUUGUUAGCAUCAACACUUGCUUGGGACGACUCGAUGUUGUCGUAUACAUUUGAGAGAGCAGUUUAUAUAUUUGAGUCAUAUUUUCACAAGGUAAUUAGAAUUUUGGAUCACUUUUCAAUAUCAUCUCACUAAUUUACAUUCAGAUGCCUGCUCAGAGACUGAACGUAUGAUCCAUUGCCUACAUGACAUGUCACACAAGCACUUGCUGUCCGCACUUCUAAAUGUUUUUAAUUGUCUGCUCAGUAACUAAAUAUCUUGACUCUUCUCUUCAUGAUAUGUCACUUUUUAAUUGUCUUCAUUUGCGUUGUCAUCAAUUUAAGGUUUUACCUUUGCAUUUUUCUCAAAAUUUCUUCUUCCAUACUUUCAACUGUUUAUUGCCGUGUUGUUAAAGAAUGGUAGACUUGCUGUCCGCUGCUCUGCCACUUUAUUUUUAACCUUUUUCCCCUCUCCAGUAGCUUUUCUUUUUAUCCAAAGUCGCAUUCUAAAUGCUAGGAAGUUCUAUAUAGAUGUCUAGUCAUGACCUGCUGAAUCAUAGGUAUAAAUCCUCACUUAUUUUUAUGGUUUUAGAAAAUUGAUCAAAUAUAGUGCGAUACCCAAGCAGGUAUCGCCGCACGAUGCCCACCGUGGCGAUGUUUUUUUUUUUUUUUUUCCCCUUCACCCCCAAGUGCUGCCGCGCCCACAACCCUCGCCAGUUGAGUGUUUUUUCUUUUUUCCUUCCCUCCCAUGUGUGCCCUACUCUUCUCUCCACUGAUGGAUUUUUUUUUUUUUUGAGAAAUAGGUAGCAUGCUACCGCUUUAUUCAUUGAAAGAUGAACUAAGCUACAGGGGUGAGGCAACACAGCCGCUAAUGGAUUUUUAGUGUUUUUUUUUGUGUUUUUAUUUUUAUUCUUCCCUCUACUACUCUCCCCUCCCCACACACCCCCUCCCACCGAUUGUAUUUUUUUUUUUCCUUUCCUCCCCCUCCGCUUUAAUGGUUUUUUUUCUGUGGUCCCCCCUCCCUAAUGGAAUGGAUCUUUGGGUAGUAAUUUUUUCCCCCUUAACGUUCCAUGUUUUUUUUUUUUCUCCUCCCCCCUUCUCCCCGGGGCCAAUGGGAUUUUUUUUUGGUAAUUUUUUUUUCUUCUUUCCCCCUACUCCCUAUGGAAAUCUUUUUUUGUUUUUUUGGCGUCCUCCUCCCAAUGUUUUUUUUUUUUUUUUUUUUUUUUUUUUUUUGGCUUUUUUUUCCUUUCCCUCACCUUCUGAUGGAUUUUUUUUACACCCCCCCCACCAGCAUCCCGAUGGUUUUUUUUUUACCUUCCCCCUACUCUCCCGUUUAGGGGUUUUUAGUUUAUAACUUUUGUAUCGGAAUACUGGGCUGGUUUUAAAUGCAUACUUCUUUUUUCUAGAUUUACCUAUGUAUAUCUGUAAGCUAAUAAUUAUAUAUCUAUGAACUUACUACUAAAGAAGUAUGUGUAUGUUUCUCCCUUAUUUUCUUUGAGAUAAUCUUCUUUUUUUUUUUUCCCUUUUUUGCCCUUUUGAUAUCUCUAGCAGAUGAUUGACUAUAUUGCUCCAGUUAACAUUUAUGAGAAAGAGCUGUGGAUGAGUUGCAGCUCUGGACAAUCAAAUGCGGUGAAGAUUAAAAAUGCUCAAAUGGUACUUCUAUUUUGGGAUUCAAUACUUCAUCUUGAACCUGAUUAACAAUAAUCAGUCUGUUGUAUGUUUCUCUGAUCAAUCAUCAUAUAUGUCAAUAAUUUUACUCUCUGAAAGCUUCUUUAGGACUUAAUAGGUAUAGACUGCAGCCUUUGCUAGAAGAUCUGAUAAUCAAUCAGUGGUUUGGUGACAAAAUUUGGUUUGUUCACACUUCUUGGACUAUUUAAUAUGAACAUACUGGCUCUAUCACUAUUUUAAAGGUUGAUUAUAUGGCAAUAAUACAAGCUUUUGAUACAAAGAACAAUUCCAUUGCUAAAAAAAUUCAAAAAAGCUUAUUUUCUCUCAAUAGGCAACAAUUUCUAAGUGUUAUUUACCAUAUGCUUUGGUAAAUGGGAUAGGGAUAGAUAGUAAAAAAGAAAAGAGAGAAUUGGGAAGCAGAGAGGGAGGAUAGGAAGCAGAGAGGUUUUCUUUUUUCCUUUUUAUUUUUUUUGUGUUGCAGUACCUUGUCUCAUAAAAUCUAAUUUCAAAGUAACAUUUUGUAUCAUAAGUUUUUUCGCGGGACACUUCUUUUGAACAAAAUAAUCAACCUACAAGUUAUUAGAUGGUUCUCAAAUACCCUUUCAAUAUUUGAAAAUUGGAAAGCAUAAAGAACAAAGAAGGCAUCAGUGGCAUCUUCAUCGCUCACCAACUAAAAGAUGUAAAGUGACAUAAAGACCUAAAAUUGAACGUAUCGAAAGCAAAAGUUUCUUUGAAAAUUGAACGUAUUGAAGCCAAAAUUUUGUUUUGAUGAAAAAUGAAUUUUGACUUGAGUCUGACUUAUGUUUGCACACUAAUACGUUUGUGUUGUCUUAUAUUCCUUAGGUGUACUUGAAUGCUCUGGUUCUUGCUAGAGCUGCUGUUGGAGCUAAUUGCAUGCAAAAGGUAUCUUCUUCUUCUCGGUAAGUUUCCUUGAACUUUUCAUAUUGAUUUCCCCUAAUAUUGUGAGACUCUAUCAGUCAUGUCUUUGCUCGAAGUGUGUUUUUUUUUAGAGAAACCUUGCUCAAAGUUGCAUUUAAUCAUGUUACUACAACUAAUGGUCUUGCUCGAAAUCUUACUAUACUCCAUCAUGACAUAGAUUGAAUGCAAUUUCUCUAUAUAUAGCUUGUCCAUAGGGUGAUUGGCAGUCAUAAUUUCUUUCAAUCAACUCUAGAUUGCAAUCUCUUCUAGAUAUAUUAUCACCAUGUUCAUGAACUUAUUGUUUUGUAGCAGGGAAAUCUUCCGAUUUCUGAUCAGUCUUAUUUCCGCUGUUCACAGUCAUUUUCUCUUACUAAUGACAUGGUACGAUUCUGCCAAAAUUCUCUUCUAGUUUGCAUCUAUAUAACUUUCAGACUCAAGAGGCUGUAGUAAACCAUAUAGGUUUGUUGGAACAUGCUGUCAUUUACUCCAGUUUUGAAAUAUGAUUGGAGAUUAUGGUUUUUAUAUAUGGAAAAUCCCUGCUGCUUUUCCUUGCAGCAUGAUUAUGAAAAUGAGUUUCAGAUAUUUAUUUUUUCACUAUUUUUUUUUCCUUCUGCUAGCAUUUUCGUUCCCAUGGAACCCAUUUGCCAAUAAAAGAGUGUUCCAACAUCAAUCUAGCAUGGGCGUCUCUUAUAGUUGAAGAAUGUGUUAGACUUGGCUUGACGGUGAGUCUCACCAAUUGAUGGUUUACUUCCUAUUUCUUGAAUACAUUUCUAAUUGCCUCCUUAUUUUAGUACUUCUGCAUAGCUCCAGGGUCACGAUCAUCACCACUUGCGCUUUCUGCUUGUGCGCAUUCCUUGACAAGUUGUGUUUCAUGUUAUGAUGAGCGCUCACUUGGGUUUCAUGCUGUCGGGUAUGCAAGAGGUGCCAAUAAACCUGCAGUUGUCAUUACAUCCUCAGGAACUGCAGUGUCAAAUCUUCUUCCUUCGGUGCGACUCUCAAAUUUCAUUUUAUACUGAUCUUAUUUCUUACUUCAAAUGAUAGUCCUUUCCUCGUUUUGUUCUUUUUAUAAUUUUGGGGUUGCUUAUUUUGUCAGCAACAAAAUUAUUAAAUCUUCUCACAAAGGUUUUUUUUUUUUUUUUUUUUUUUCUUUUUUAGUCUGAAACCUCUCUUGCCUUGUCUUGAAACUACUAAGUGUACCUUGUUAUAAAUUUGUAAAAACAAAUGAUCCUCCAUUGUUUUGCGAAUUCCAUGCAAUUCUUUCAGUUAAUAUGCAGGUGGUGGAGGCCAGUCAAGACUUUGUACCUCUUAUGUUGCUCACAGCUGAUCGCCCUCCAGAGCUGCAUGAUGCUGGAGCCAACCAAUCUAUUGAUCAGGUCCGAGAUAUCAUUCGUUUUGAUUAUUAUGUUGAGUACACAUCUACUCUUGCUUUUCUUUAUUUCACUUUAGGGUUGGAAUUGUUUUUACCAAUAAUCUUGAAGUUACAUUCUGAUUUUAUUACUCUAAUUUUUGCAUUGUGCUCAGUCUGAAUUUUGAAUAGGAUUCUGGCUCUGCAAUCAUCACUACAUUCAAAUUGACAUUUUUAUAUUUAAGUCAUUGGUAUUUCCUGUUGCCAAUAACAGUAUUUUAUGCAAUAUUAGUGCCCUUCACAUGUGAAUUGCACCUUGGCGAUUAUAAUUUAGAUAAUCUACAGAUAACUAGAUUAACUACCUAUUUUAUUUUCUUGGUCUUCUCUUGGUGCCGAAGAAAUAAGCUUUUUCAUGCCAAAGUGUGAUGACACACUGGAUUUUGAAUAGGAUUCUGGCUCUGCAAUCAUCACUACAUUCAAAUUGACAUUUUUAUAUUUAAGUCAUUGGUACUUCCUGUUGCCAAUAACAGAAUUUUAUGCAAUAUUAGUGCCCUUCACAUGUGCAUUGCACCUUGGCGAUUAUAAUUUAGAUAAUCUACAGAUAACUAGAUUAACUACCUAUUUUAUUUUCUUGGUCUCCUCUUGGUGCCGAAGAAAUUAAGCUUUUUCAUGCCAAAGUGUGAUGACACACUGGUAUUGUGUCAAGGCAUGCAUUAACUACCUAUUUUGGUAUGUUUUAGUUAUCUAGGAUAGGUUAUGCCACUUACAAUGUUAUGAGGAGGGUUUUUCGCAAAAUUUUAGCAUUUUCAAAAAUAAAAGGAUAUUUAUCAAAUUGAAAGUAGUGAUAGUUUUGUGGUGUAAUUGUCUAAAUGUAUGGAAAGUUAAGUCUUCUUUCUCAUCAUUGUUUGUAACUUUCUUACGCAAGCUUUGUGAAGUCGACUGUGCAAACAUCAUUGUUGUUGUGUUCUUCCUGCUAUACUUCAGGUCAAUCAUUUUGGAAAGUUCGUGAGGUAUUUCUUUAAUCUCCCUCCACCAACUGAUCAAAUUUCUGCAAAAAUGGUUCUAACUACUGUUGACUCAGCCGCUUAUGCUGCAACUCAAGUGCCACAUGGUCCUGUUCAUAUAAAUUGUUCAUUUAGAGAACCUUUGGAGGACUCAUAUAGAGAAUGGACAAGGGAAUGCCUACGAGGAUUAGAUAUGUGGUUAACAAGCAUGGAACCUUAUACUAGAUAUAGAAGAAUGCAAGGUUUGUAUGCAAGCAAUAAUUAUGCUAACUCAAUGACUGGGGUUUUGGAAGUAAUAAUGAGAGCAAACAAAGGGCUUCUGCUGGUUGGCUCUAUCCACUCUGAAGAUGACAUGUGGGCGGCAGUUCAGUUAGCUAAGCACCUUUCUUGGCCAAUUGUUACUGAUAUUUUAUCAGGCUUGCGGUUGCGCAUAUCAUUUACUUCAUUUCCAGAACUUAAGGAUGAUUUCCUUUUUAUAGACCACAUGGAUCAUGCUCUACUUGCUGAUUCUGUCAAGAGCUGGGCACUGCCUGAUGUGGUUAUUCAGGUAUGCGCUCUUUUUAUUUCAUUAGUUUUCUUCUCUUGCCGUAUAAUGUGCUUAGUUAAACAAACAGUUCAUAAAAAAAGGACCAUUAUAUCAUAGGUUGCUUUGUUAUUCUGCUCUGCAGCGCUUCGUGCCAGGUGAUGUUUAGAGUAUCGACAGAAUUUUUUUUCUUCUUAUCAGUUGAUAUCAUCAGCUUAAAAUGCAAAUGAAGAUACUCUUAGAUUCUUAGUUUUUCCAUCAGUGACUAAUUAUUGUUCAGUAUAUUCUUUUUACAAUCCUUAAUUUUUAUUAGCUAGGCUAUCUAGAAUAGCCCAUUUACGCUCAGUGCAUUUUCAAUUUUCCCCUUCCUCACGUGGCUGGCAUUUCCUUUAGAGCGGAUAUGAUUGACUAUGUUAAUCUGAUUUUCUGAUUUUGAAUAUUUUAUUAUUUUGGUUUGUUCUACUGUUUGCCUUCAUUUCCUUUUAAACAUACUUGUCCUGCUUUGACUGUGCAGAGGAUCUUGUUUUGCUUACAUUUCUCUUUUGUAUUGUCCACCAUUUUAGAAAAUUCACCAUUUCAUAUAAUUUUCUAAUAAGUCAACGAAAUGCAAAUAACAUAGUUAUGUUGUCAGAUAUCAUUUUCAUACUCAUAACCUGCUUAUGCUCAGGACUGCAAAUAAAAGUACUAUGGUAUUACAGAUAAAAAUAUAUGGUGUUCCAUCUAUGCUAACCUUUGUUAUCAGAAAAGUGGAAAUUUGGUAGUCUGCCAUUUUCUUAUAAUGCCUUCUAAGCUUCUAGCUCAUGCCGAUGACAGAUUGGUAGCAGGAUUACUAGCAAACGAAUUGGCCAGUUUCUGGAUCACUGUCCUCCAGCUUCAUAUGUCUUGGUUGACAAUCACCCAUACCGUCAUGAUCCUUCUCAUAUUGUUACUCACAGAAUUCAGAGUACCAUAACAGAAUUUGCUGAUGCAUUAUGUAAUGUCCAUUUACCGAAGAAGGCCAGAGGAUGGAGUAAUCUCCUGAAAGCACUGAAUUCAGUGGUAUGAACCAUCUGACUCUGGCUAGCUAUAUGUUGUUCUUUCUAUAAUCAAUUUUCCAUCUCCCAACAGCUUAUUUAAAUAUCUGUUAAAUUCAGUAAUUUUCUUCUUUUUUUUUUUUGUCAUCAACUCAUCUUACGGCCAUAUUACUUGCAAAAAAAAAUAGUAUACGUCUAUUAAAUUACCUUUCUCUUGGAAAUAGAGGGGGCUUGGCUGCAUAAUGGUUUCAGAAAUCAUUAUGCAAUUGUACCAAGAUUAUUAGGCCAAUUUUCUCUUUUUAGUCCUGUAUUUUUGAGCAACUGUUUUAGUUACUACGUGCUAUCUACUAGCAUAGCUGAAAUAGUACCAAGAUAGUCUUUCUUCUCUAUUUUGCUGAAGACAUAUCUAGCUUUAUCACUCAGUGGUUAGUAUAUAACACAUAUAUUGUCGUCAAGUAUAUGUUAUCCAUUUGAAGGUUACUUUGAUCUCCUACUGAGAGGCGGUAGCCGUGUUCUAGUAAAGAAGAAGAUGUUAUGCAGUAAUGUUUAAGAUUUGACUGCUAGAAAUCAAAAGUUGCUUUCUAGUUAGCCAUUUGUGUAAAAAACACACAGAUAAAUAUCAAUUCUACUAUUUAUCUAUUUGAUUUUACGAAUCAACAUUUGAAGUUAUGAUGGCUAGAACUGCUUAUGCAAUGAUGAACAACUUUGACCUUCUAUCUUGUCAUUUAUUCACAUAAUUUAUUGUAUCAGUUGAAUAUCUUUACAUAUUCCACAAUAAGAUUACAUUUAGUGUCUAAUUUACAUGUGCUUUUUUUAGGUUGCGCAGGAAAUAGCAUUUAAAAUCGACUCUGAAUGCAUGUUAACUGAGCCAUAUGUAGCGCAUGUAAUCAGUGAAGUACUUGAUAGUGAUACUGCCAUAUUUAUUGGGAACAGCAUGGUCAUUAGAGACUUGGACAUGUAUGGAAGGGGCUGGCGGAAGUCUGAAAAAACUAAAACUCAUGUGAUGUCAUAUCAGGAUCCAUGUUUCCAUGGUAUACAAGUUGCUGGAAAUAGGGGCGCAAGUGGUAUUGAUGGUUUACUAAGCACUGCUAUCGGGUUUGCAGUAGGAUGCAACAAACAGGUCGGUAGCUUUCUUUUUUAAUUCGCAGCAGAUUGAAAGCAGACUAAUAUCCACGUAAAUAAAAUAUACUGGAGACACUGAUAACUUCUAUUGAGCAGUUGAUUUUUAGCUUUCACAUCUAGACUGGUGAAACAUGAUUUAGGUGCUAUACUAUUUUGUACAACUAACUACUGUAAUAUAGCAAUAACCUGCCAGUUAAUAUUUUACAAUGUACAUAAUUGUAGUGUACCUUUCUCUUCUAUAUAUCACUAUUUGUGCAUAUAACAACUAUAGUAGACUGUCAAGUGAUAAUGUUUAUGAGUAUCUGUCAGGUAUUUUGCAUGAUCGGUGAUGUGUCUUUUCUUCAUGAUACAAAUGGGCUGGCCAUUCUCAAUCAAAGGUUUCACCCAUACUUAUUCAACAUUUAGUUGGUUAUUCCUCUUUGUCAGAUUCUCUUAUGCAUUUCUCUUUUAUCUAAAAAAAUAAUAGUUAAGUACUGUUGCUUUGUCUCACGCUUGGUGACUAGAGUCUUAUAGAUAGUUUGUUUGUUACAUCAGUUAUGUUGCCUGUAUUAUUAAUGUAAAAAUAGAGCCCUCAAUUAUUAUGCCAUUUUUAGAUAGACCCAAUCUUUUGGUUGCUUUGAAUUGGCAGUGGUGUUAAGUUUGAUGCUCUUUCUGCAAUUAACCAUUUACCAUUAAUGGAACCUGCAAUAUCAUUUGCUGCAAAGCAGUUGGAACCUUUAUUUCAACAGUGUCAUCAUUAAAUUUAAAAAAAAUUUACCAGUAUAACUUACUGAAAUCAAAAUAUGAGGGGUGUCAGUCUGAAGAACAAAAAAAAAAAAGAGGAGGUUAUUGGGGGUCUAUUUCCAAAUUGGCUACAGUUGAGGGGGUCUCAAUACAGUACUAUUUAUAAUUAACAGGCAAAAGGACAUUCUGAUUCUGUAUCUUAAGCAUGAGAGUACUUAAGCCAUCCUCUUGUUCUGUUUAUUUCAAACAAAAUUAGGAUGGUUUUGCCAGCAAUUAUAACAUGAAAUUACACUAUAGGAACUUAGGAACAACCAGAGUAGAACAUUACAGAUUGACCUAUAAAAGUUAUGUGAAGUCUAAAAUCUCUUUAAGUUCCUCUAUGUUAUGAUAGUAUAUGUUAUGAUAGUAUAUUUUAUCAUUAUUCCGUAAUCAUGGGUAUUUCUAGUUAUUUAUUAAUUGAAUUAAGCUGUUACCUCUUUCAAAUUUUCAAGCUUGUAAUGACUUUCUUUCUGAUUUUUAUGACAAUUAUGUGCCUAAUUGAAGUUUCUAGUGAACGACCAAUGAAUUGGUUGAAGAUUGCAACAUGAAUUGACUUUUCGCUGACGAUUUGGAGAUUCUAUAAAAUAAGAUUUAUGUAAGGUCAGAAUAAUCAUAGAGAAAGAACAGUUUUAGUGUGUAUGUGUUGAAAUCAUUGCCAAACUGCUGCUCUUUUUUCUUGAUUCUAUGUAUUCUUAACUAAUUUAAGUAAGAGAUGCCAUGUAGAUAACCUUGGUUAACUACCUCUUUCUAAUGUCCAGCUGAAUAUUCUUCUUCAACAAAUAGGAUCUUCAUGUGUGGGUUUUUUUUUCUUUUUUGGAGAAAAAGAAUAUGUGAAUUUUAUGAGAUAGCUUACGUUGGCAUCACAUUCUGUCCGUCUCAGUCAUUUUUAUUUUCUAUCUUUUACUUUUGUAUAUAAUAUUGAAGGGUGAGGAGGAAGCCUAUAAUUGUCAUUGUAAUAAACAAUCAUGGUGGUGCAAUCUUCAGUCUUCUGCCAAUUUCAAAUACAACACAUUCUGAUGUCUUGGAUAAAUUCUUCUACACAGCUCAUGAUGUUUCUAUUCAGAAACUUUGUGCAGCACACAGGUAAAGCUUUUUUCUCAUACUCUGUAAAUAAAUUCUCCUUAAUUUAAAAUGAGAUGGACUAAGAUUAAUUGCGAGCAUAUGUUUUCUGCUUAUGAUUUGUUGACUGAACUUGCAGUGUGAAACAUUUACUAGUUCAGACAAAAGCAGAUCUUCAAAUUGCUCUCUGGAAAUCCCAACAGGAACAGACUGACUGUGUAAUAGAAGUUCAGAGCUGCAUUGCAGAUAAUGCCAAUUUCCAUAGGUUUUAUCACUCAGAAUUAUCUAUCUAUUUCAAUGAAUGGUUGUGCUCUUAUACUGUAUUGACUUGUUUUCAUCGUUUUAUUUCAGAAUUAUACGUAUGUCUGCUUGUCAAGCAGCAACUCAAGCACUUGGCUUCCUUUUGGAUUUUCCAGAUAUUGAACAUGUCCAAUGUUUUUCUUUUACCAAGAUCGAUAAAAUGGAAUAUAUGUUAUAUCGGUAAAUCAUUAAGUUUUUAUCUAUAUCUCCGUAGCUUACUAUUAUUUCUGCAGUUCUUAUCUAUAUCUCUAUAGCUAAUGGAUAAUAGAAUGACUGGUCUCAUUAGUUUGAGUACAUUGUUACAGAAUACAACUUUUCGCACCACCUACUUCACGUCAAUUUGAUGAUGUUGGGAAUGAGUUAUUCCGUGAGGGAUUUAUUCUGAUUAUUCAUUUGGAUGACAAUACUGUAGGAUUUGGUGAGGUUUGUUCUCAUUCUUCAAUUGUCAUAUAUAUGAUUCUUCACAAGAGCAGCUGUAUUUUACUUCUCUUAACACAACUGUGCAUCUUGCACUUGUUUCUUCAUACGAGCUUAGUAUUUUCAGUAGAUAUGUAUUAUCUUGAAGUUAGAAGAUGUAAUUAAUUUUUUUGGUUGAUGGCCUGUAUACACAGUAAUAUUCCGCCUACAGAAUGGGGUAGACCAGUCUAAGAGUACUUUCCUAUGGACCUAAGAAAACAAUUUUUAUCUUCUGGUUCUGUAGAUACACUUAAAUGAUGGAUUUUGUUGAUGGCCUUCAAUCUUCUAGCAUGAGUUUAAGCUCUUAAGUUUUAUACCCUUCAGUCAUGGAAUAAUCCUAUCAUCAUUCACAAGAAACAGGUUAUUUACUGUAAAAGAGCUAUCUUGCUUCAUCAUGACAAAUAAUUUUUUAUGGUUUCUCAAUGUUUAGCAACAAAAAACAAUAUUUUCAAAGGCUAAGCAUAGCUGAAAUGACAAUGGUGAUAUGAGCAACUGUAGUCAAGCAAAGAUAGGUUGAGAUAUUAUCGUUCUUGUUGCAUUUUUUCAAAGAUACUCGAUUCUAGUUUCUAAGAGUAAGUUAUAAGAAGAAUUUGAUGGUUCAGGCAUUAUGCAACAGAGAUCUCCUAGCACAUUAGUAGCCUGUGUGAUAAAAUUCAGGUGUUAGGUCCCGAAGGGAAGUGAGGACCAGAAAACAGUUGAAUAGCACAAGGAAAAGUGCAUGCUGCCCCUUCUGUAGGUCAUUGGAAUUAACAAAGAUUGUGCUUGAUGCUGUAUCUUACAUAUUGAUUUCCAGAAGACAUGCCUCGUAUAGGUCAAACCACUACUUUUCAGUAGGCUAGCACCUUAUAUCUCUGCUCGAUGUCAACUACCAAGCAGGUUGCACCAAUUGAAAGUCAUGAAGAGAAUCUGUCAGAUGUUGAAGAACAACUCAGAUUUCUGCUCCACAGGAUGAAAGGCUCUGAGAUAGGUUCUCUUCUUCCUAUGCUGAAUGGAUGUUUCUCUGACUGGAUGUGGAGAAGUCUUGGAGUUCCUGUAGGUGAACUUACGUAGAUUUGUUUUCACUAAUAACCUGGAAACAGAAUUCCUGUCUGUCUAUUAUCAGCUAUCGGUGACUUCGUUUUUUUUGUUUUCAGCCGUCCUCUAUUUUUCCAAGUGUUAGGUGUGGCUUGGAGAUGGCCAUACUUAAUGCUCUAGCAGCAAAGCAGGGGUCUAGUUUGUCAGAUCUAAUUAGUGGAUGCAUGAGCUCCUCAGGAGAUAAGAAGUCACUCAGAGAUAAUACUCAAGAUUCAGCGAGUAUACAGAUCUGUGCUCUUGUAGAUUGUAAUGGCACUCCAAAUGAAGUGGCGUAUGUUGUCUCACAGCUUGCUAACGAAGGUUUCACCACAGUAAAAUUGAAGGUAAUCAGAUUCUUUGCUUUUAUCUGGAUUGAGAUAUUUUGAUUCUCAGGAUUCAAUUGUCAGUUGUUUAUCUUGUGAUUUGAGCAUUACUUUCUUUUCCUUUUUUCUUAGGAAUUGUCAGUCUGAUGUAUUAUUAGGUAAGCUAGAUGAUUUCUGUUUUUAAAUUCUGAAACAACAAGUUUUUGCAUGAUUUUUUUGUAAAGGUUGCACGCAGAGAGAGCCCCACUGAAGAUGCAGCCAUCAUCCAAAAAAUAAGAGAAAUGGUUGGGUACAAGAUAAACAUCCGUGUUGAUGCGAAUAGGAAGUGGACAUAUGAAAAGGCAAUCCAGUUUGGGUCUAGUGUGAAAAGCUUUGAUCUGCAAUACAUUGAAGUAUAGUGUAGAUCUCCUCUCCUCAUUGAGUUCAAACGUUCUGAAUAACAUUAAAUAUGAAUUUAUCUUUAUCUUUCUUCUUUCUCUUCAUGAAAUCUAGAUUACAGAAGUCUGCUUUGGCAAUUAUUUAAUAGCUUUUAGAGGGAGGACAUAGACCAACGUUUUAUCCUUUGUCACUCAGAUAUACCUCAUAGUUUUGCCCCGUUCCAUUCUUCCUGAAAAUCUUACGUUGUUUACAUGUUGCAGGAACCUGUAUGUCAUCAAGAGGAUAUUAUCAAGUUUUGUGAAGAAAGCAACUUACCUGUGGCUUUAGAUGAGACUAUUGACAAACUUAAAGGAGACAUCCUUAGUGAGCUCCAAAAAUUUGUACAUGCAGGAAUAGUUGCUCUUGUGAGUAAAACAAAUAUUAAAUUCUUUAGGACUUGCAUUUUUUAAAUUAUAUAUUUGACAUGGUUUUCAUGUUGGACCUUCAGGUAAUAAAACCAAGCAUUGUUGGGGGUUUUGAAAAUGCACGACUUAUGGCAAAAUGGGCUCAGUUGCAUGGGAAGAUGGCUGUUGUUAGUUGUGCAUUUGAAAGUAGUCUUAGUUUGUCGGCAUAUGUACAGUUUGCAUAUUAUCUUGAGCUUCAAAAUGCUGCAAUCUGCAAACUGAAAAAGAGAGAUUUAAGUAGAGCUAUAGCACAUGGACUAGGAACAUAUCGUUGGUUAAAGGAAGAUAUAUCAGAUAAAGGUUUGAAGAUUUGUGUGUCCCCAUAUAGUGACAAUGUGGAAGCUUUGGUAGAAGAUGCACACAGUUUUGUUCAGAAUUUCCAAAUCAACAACAAGAGAAUUCAAAGGGUUUACACUGAAGAACAACUGAAAUCCUACGUUGUAAAAGUUAAGAGUGGUAAUUUUUCUUGUUUAUUCAAGUUACAAGAGGCUGGUUCUUGUACAAAUGUAAGCAUUCUUCUUGCUUUUGAAAUAUUUUAAUCAAGUUGUCGGCAACUUCAAUCACAUAGAACUUCAAGGAAACAGAAAAGUAAAAAUAUAUAUAUAUAUAUAUAAAAAAGCAAUGUAAGACGAGGCCUAUUUCUUUGGUUUUAAUUUGUCUGCCAGCAUCAGAUGACAAAAUGUUGACUUUAUUUUCUACGAGUUGUCUUCUAUGUUAUUGAGUAUCUUCUUAUCGGAGAUUUUGUUAUCUCAACAAGAUUGGAUUUUCUUUAUUAAUUUUUUAUUUUUUGUAGAAAAAGGUGGUUAUCUUCCUUCAUGGGUUUCUGGGUACAAGUGAUGAAUGGACUCCCACAAUGAAGGCUUUGUCUCAUGCUGCACGAGGAAUUUCUGUUGAUCUUCCAGGCCAUGGAGACUCACCAAUGCAAUGGCAUAGUAAUGAGGAAUCCGAACAAAAAUUGAAACUCUCAGUUGAAACUGUUGCAGAUUUAUUGCUGAAGUUGAUAUGUGAUAUUACUGAUGAAGGGGUAAUUCUUGUCGGAUACUCAAUGGGAGCAAGAAUUGCAUUACAUAUGGCAUUGAGGUACAGUGAGAAGGUAAUAAGAUUCACAUCAUUUUAACAUUCUUUUUCUUUUUUCUUGUUUGACUAUGAGAGCUAAAGUAAGUUUACCAAAUAGAUCGAGGGAGCCGUUAUAAUAUCAGGAAGCCCCGGACUGAGGGAUGAAGCAAGUAGACGUGUUCGUAGAGCACAAGAUAAAUCAAGGGCUUGUUUGCUGUUAACUCAUGGAUUGCAAUGUUUUCUUCACACAUGGUAUUCAGGAAAUUUGUGGAGAAGGUGAUGACUCAAUGACUUAAUGCUUGCUAUGUAUAGUUUUUUGUAUUUGUUAAUGACUUAAAGUGGUACUACCUGGCCUAUUUAACAUCAAACAAAAUUGCUGUUCUUCUUAAUGACUGCAUAUUAUGAUGUUUGAGCCAUUCCUGUAACAUGGAUUCUUCACAGAAAGCAUUUGAUACUUGACUAACAAUUAAUCUUUACAGUCUGAGAGAACAUCCACACUUUGACCGCAUAAUCAGAAGCCGCACAAGGCAUAAUGACAUCAAAGCUCUCGCAAAGGCUUUCUAUGACUCGAGCAUUGGAGAGCAAAGGUAAGCUAUCUUCCUGCACUCUUAUUCUGUUGUUAGCCAAUACGUUUACUUGGUAUUUACGUACUCCUGCAUCUAAGCAUACCGUCUGUCAUUCAGCCAAGCCAUUUAGGGCUUGUUUGGUUCAUCUAUUUUGGGUAUGGAAUGGGAAUCGGUUUGAUCAAAUCCGGUUAAUUUUGUUUGGUUCGCAUGAAUUGGUUUGGGAUUCCUAUUCCGGACUGGAAUGGGAAUGGCCCAUUAGCCUUCAACUUGAUUCCGGUCUUCUAGCCCGGAUUGAGAUUUCAUUCCGGAAGCCCACUAAGUUCUCAAAGCCCAUGUGACUAUCUUACCCUCCUUCUCUUCACCCCUUUCUCAUCAAAAAAAAAAAAACCUAUCCUCUCUCAAAACCCUAUCCCUAACCCACAUCAAUAAAAGUUUUUAAAAAUAAAUUUGAUAUUUUUUUUGGAAAACUUAUUAGAGAAUAGUAUUAUAUUUUUCAUAAAUUUUAAAUAAUAUAAAUUUAUAUUUGAGAGUGAAAUUAGUAUUAUGGUAUCCUAUAAUUUUUUUAGUUUAUACGAACCAAACAAUGAAAUGUGAAUAACUCAUUCUAAUUUCCAAUCCACAAAUAAACCAAACGUCUUGGGGGAGUGGGCCAUUCCAUUAUCCAUUCCAAUUCCACCCUUGAACCAAACAAGCCCUUAUUGUUUCUUAAAUAGAGAGGAAGUGUCUUGAGUUCUAUCUACUUUUUGAAUUCAGAAUCAUCCUCUUAGAUUAUGCUUCAUUUGACCAUUUACUUCUAGCAUGAUGUACCGUGCCAGUCUCUGUAGGAGGCUAGUCCCUUUAUGAUGCCAAUAAUCGUGUGUUCUAUUGCAAAUAUUCAGAUUCAUAUAGGAGUUAUUGCUUGUUAUUAAUGUGUUUAGUUUGUUAUGUUUAUGGUUAGUGCAGAAUUUGAGAUCCUAAGAUGAGAUUUUUGGAACUGAUUCCUUUAAGAGAAUGUGUUAUCAUACCAAGUUGAAAAGUGUGUCAGUCUAACAAUUUACAAAGUGUAUGCCUCUGCUAUAUUUCUUUUACCCUUGUUUAAAUGCUUGCCAGAAGUAGUACAAUAGAGUUGACCCAAGAAUCGUGCUCUGUUUGAUAGGUCUCUGUGGGGAGACUUGAAACAUUGCAAGAGGCCUCUUCUCUUUAUUGUCGGGGAAAAGGACACGAAAUUCAAAGAGAUCUCUCUGCAGAUGUGCCGGGAAAUUACGAGCGUUUCCGGUGGCUCAGAUUACAGCCAAAAAGAGGAGCAAUGUGAAAGGCUCGUAAUCCCUGACUGUGGUCAUGCUGUGCAUCUGGAGAAUCCUCUUCCAGUAAUUAAUGCAGUGGGGAAGUUCAUAACAAAAUUGGCACGUAUAUGAGAUCCUCCUUACGUUGUUUAACAUGUGGAUCUUUUUCUACCAUUUGUUUUCCUUUUUUUCCAUUCAUAGUGAGGUCUAUUAAGGGGCUUUUCUUAAAUUAUGUGUGAUCUAUCUUCAUGAAAAAGAGCAUUUUCGGGCAACAACCCUAUCCUUCCCUUGUCCGAAAAAAUAUUCGGAACACUCUGGAAUUGAGUGAAUUGUUCACUGUGUUCCUAUUAUUUUCCCCCUUAGAUCCUUUCUUUCAACCAGCCGGUCACUUCAAUUUUGCUUUCUGCCGUGCACGUUUGAUCAGUUCAAAGCUCCAAAGCCCGCGCCUAUUUAAAACCUUCGUGGCUAAGGAAGAAGCAAAGCAACAGAGAGAGAGAGAGGUUAAGAGGAAAAGUAGAGAUGGGUCGGUGCCCGUACGCGGCUUUCUCCAAGGAUCAUUGGAGGCCCUUGUGCUUGAUUCCUGGAAUGGGAGGGGGGAGGAAUGCGGCGGCCUUACGAUUGAAGUUAUUUUUAAGGUGCGCUACUGUCUUGUUUGUUUGGUUCUGUUGCCUUCUGUUUUCACCUCUUAAAAUUAUCUUAGCAGCAGAUGUAGAAGAAUUACAUGCAUUAUCAUCCAACGCAAACGUGCAGCAUUGCAUUCUCAGAAUGAAAGCCCCCAAACUUAGAUAUGCCGACUAUGAUGGGCAUGUCAUGCUAUAACAACAAGUGCUACUACAACGUUCUGAGUGGGUUGUUUAUUCAGAUGUAGACCUGUGACUCGGCGGCACCGCUACAAAAAAAGCAGGUCAAGUUUAUGGUGAGAAGACACUAGUGUAAAGAAGCUGGGUUGUUGCUGCUGCACAAAAUGCACUUCAAUGCUAGCGUGACAGCCACGCACUAUGAGGUGAAUUGUCUGCGUUUCGUUUUCUCCUAUAAUUAUGCCUGUAAUCCGCGAUGCACCCACCCCCGAAAGGGACCUUUCUGAUUUGGAUUUUGGAACCCUCGACUCUGCCAGGACGCAAAACCACCGCAACAUCAACACUCGGUUCACCACAUUAAAAAGUUGUGCCAUAAAACGUCCCCGUUGGAAAAUUGACAUGGGGACUACUAGCAUUGUUAGGAGAUUAACAUGAUUCUCCCAUCACGUGGUGUCCACCUCCAUUAGUUAAUUCAUGAAUUAUUAAAAAUUCAAAUAAAAUAAUUCGUAUGUGAAUUUUUUUCAAACCAAAUUAUUUAAGAAUUAUUAAAAAUCAAAAUAAAAAAAUUUAUAUUUUUUAUAUUUAAGUAUGGACUAUUUUAAUCUCUUUUUUGUUUGAUUGUCUAUAUAUCGUGGUGUAUAAUAUAGUUCGCUAUUAAUUUUUUAUUUAAUCUAUUUUAUUUUGAAGCUCUCUAUUUCAAAAUUAAUAAUAGCUUGGGUUGAUGUGCUGCUUUCUCUGUUUUAUCAAAGAUAUAUACAUAUAAAUAAAGUGACAAAGGACUUGAUGAUUGGUAUCCGAAAUUUCAAGUUCGAAUCCUAGUUGAUUUACAUUUCCAGCUAAGUUUAUUUUAAAAAAAAAUAAAUAAAAUGGAUAGCAUGCUGUCUUUCUCUCUCCAAAAAAAAAAAAAAAAACAAAAAACAAAUUUGUCAACGGUUUAAAUUUCUCAUCUAACAGUGAGUUAUCUGUAUUGUAUUUGAAUACUAAGACGAGAAAUGUCAGGAAAGCAGUUUCCAAGCGUCCUUAAGCAUCCUCUCAAACAACACAGUUAGGUACUUGUGAGAAGACUGCAUUUUUCUUCAUGACCUAAUUAAAACAAAACACAAGCAUGCCGCUGCAGAUCUUUGCACGCAAGCAAAAAAACUUCACUUCAGGAUCAAUUCAAGUGUCUACUUUCUGUUAAGUUGAAGAAGGAUCAAGAGGCCCAUUCAAACGUUCCUGAGACUCCAAUAACAAAUCUUAGUAGUGUGAAUGACCUCACUAGUAAAAUCUUAAUAGCUCCAAAAAGAGCGCUAAAUUCCUGUCCAGACAUGUCCCGCAAAGCACAUGGCUUUGCUUGUCACCUAAUAAUAAGAGUCCCACUUUUCUCAUACAUUAAUUCAGAAAGUCCGACCGUCCUUGCAGUAGGUAGAAAUAUAUUCAUCUAUACUAAAACACUACAACAUUACCAUAUAGACAAUUUAUAUUGUAACUCUACAUUCACACAAAAUGUAUUCUUCAGAAAAUCUAGAAAAUUCGUAACACGCAUACAAGCACUUCUAUAAUAGUAAACAGAAAUGUGCUCAUCAGAUGAGAUCUCACAAACUAGAACAGGUAAAAGAGUCAACUUAAUAGAAUGCUGGUCGAGACAACAAGCAUGUCUGCUUACUGUGGUUGUACCUAUUACCUAAUUACAUAUGUAAAGACUCUACAAUAUCGGGUAUGUGGAUAUGUUUCACAAUGAAACCAUUCCAAGAAGGUAAUUGCCGGCAUCCAAACAUGAACAAAAUACAACCUUAAAAUUUAAAAAUGCAAUUGAUAGAGCAAUCAUAUUUUCACAUGGAACAUUUUUACAACUUGUGGCCUGUAGCACCACCAAAGCAAGCACUCAUUUUAGCCUUGCGAAAAGAAAUUGAUAGCAAAUUUGGUCUCUGACUCUCCAUAGAAAUGCUUAUCAGGCUUGUGGGAUUGGGCUAACUCAUCCUCAACCCAUACCAACAUAAAAAAAGUGAGGAAAUUAAAUCAGUAUAAAGGCAACCACUAUUAUGCUUAUUAGGCUGAUAUGCUUAUCAGGUUUGUGGGAUUGGGCGAGCUCAUCCCCAACCCAUACCAACAUAAACAAAGUGAGGGAAAUUAAAGCAGCAUCCAACCCCUAUUAUGUUCAGGUUGUGUGCGACUCCAGAUUCGACUCAAAGUCGAAAAAGAAGAAAAUCAUAUCAAGACCAAACAAAUGAAAAUUUAUGCCUAUGUUUAUAUCAAAACAAUUUUAUGAGAUCAAAGAAAGGCACUAGAAUAUCUAUGUUCAUGCCAAACAAAGAAUGAAAGGAAACACUAACAAAACAAGAAAAAAAAAAAAAAAACUAGAUGUCACGGAGAAUAAUGGUAAGGAAAUAGAAACAAAUCAAUUGAGUGAAAGAGAACGAAGGUUAUCCAUAUAUGUAACCUACAAAUGUGCAUGACGACGGCAAUAGCAUUGUAAAGAAACUAUCUUUAUGCACGCCCUGACAAAAAGAAAAGCCAUUGGCAAUUGUUGUAAAGUUACCAAUUGCAUGCAUGCCCCUCCAAAUCAUUAGUUGUUUGGAAUCACGCAUUUGCUGUCACAUUCCAUCUGCAAGGUCUGUUUAGACCAUGUCUAAUGUGUUUAAAUCCUAACCACUGUUUUGAAAUAGCCAUUUUAACCAAAAAGAUAUAGCUACAAAGAGAUUCUAUUGAGAACAGUACGGAAAUUGUGAAGAAUACAAGAAGAUAUAGCUACAAAGAGAUUCUAUUGAGAACAGUAAGGAAAUUGUGAAGAAUACAAAGGCAAUAAUGUCCUUUAUCCUCCAAAAGCUAAUUUAUAAAGGGGUAUGAAUGUAAAAAAAAUAAAAAAUAUUAAAAUAUAAAAAAAGUAAUGACUUGAAGGGCAUGGAUACACGUACUAACUUUAUAAUAAUAUUUACACCGUCACGCUUCUGCAUACGAGUACGAGUACAUGCAACAAUCCCAAUAGACAAGUAUCAAUUAAGAAGAGAUUUUUCUAAAGCAAUCAAACAUCAUAAAAAAUUCCCGUAUCAAUAUAACUUGGCUGUAAUGCUAGAGCAUACAUCUAUAAGCCCAGAUCAAUGCCCACAAUUUUAAUUAAACUAUCUAGACCCAUGCAUGAUCAUGGGUACAUCCCGUUUAGGCUGAGUUCAUGUUGGGGAUACACCCAAAUAAUGAGAGACAAUUAUUUCAUCAAGCCAUUUUGAUCCAAAUAAACAAAACCACAGACAGAUCCAAUAGACCAAUAUAUUUUAUUACACCAUGAUAUGCAAAUCAUUAAUCCAAAGCAUGAGAAAUGAACUCACUAAUUUAUAGCAAAAAGCUGUUAUAGCGGAGAAUAUCCCAGGUGAGUUCUUAUCCAAGAAAAAGGUGACCUUCAACCGCACCACCAGAAAACUUCUUCAGUUGAUCAAAUAGACCUCAUAUUCAAGCAACAGGUACUAUAAUGUUUAAUGUAACAUAAAAUAUAACAGCCUUACAAAGCUAUUAGGAAAUUUAUCAGUAUUCAACAAUAUAACAAAUACCCUGUCCCAUGGGAAACCUCUAAUAGAAGUAGUAAUUAGCACUAUAUUUUCUGCAAAAGAAAGAAGAAACAAACAGAAUAGCCAACAAAUUGUAUGACAGUCAUACAAGAAAAAGAUAUCCGCCGUCUUUACCUCAUUCUUUAAACUGCGUAUGCUAGCCCUAAAUUUCAGGUAAUAUUUCAAAAACAAAACCUGAAAUAAAAUCCGUUCAGAUUUUACCUCUGAAUAUCAGGAUUAUGCGUCGGCAAUUCAUACUAGCACAGAAAAUUCAUCCUGAGGUGCAUUACCACUGGCACUUCUCGCCUUCCACUUCUCAUAUUCAGGAUCAUCGGUAGGCAAUUCAUAGCGACAAAGAGGGCAUGUGUUCCUCAUUCCGAGCCAAGGUAAUAUGCACUCCUCGUGAAAAUGAUGCGAGCAUGGAAGCUGUUUAACCCUCUCAUCGACCAAUAUCCCGUCUUUACAAACCGCACAUUGGAUGCCAUCCUUAGCAAGAUCCUCUUCCGUCAGCACGACCGACGGGAGGCUCUCAACUGCCGACUUGGCAGCCGGAGGGCUUCCUUUGGCAGGGCUGUCGUGGCCCACAAACUGGCCGAAUAAGACCUCAUAAGCCUCGUAAUCCGAGGCGUAAACGAAACCCUCGUGGUCAUCCACAAAGUAGGCUUCUACAUCAUCAGGAUCCCUUGGAUUUCUUCCCAUGCUGUUCACCGCCAAGAGAACCUCCCACUCAAGAUUUCGCACCGCAUCCUCCUCGAGAUCCGCGUCCUCUUGAUCCAAUUCCCCAACCUCGUCGGAUCCGCUGCCAUUGCCGACGAUUGUGAUGCUAAGAACAUCCCUCUCAUCGACCCGGCCAUCCACCUCCUCCCACUCGAAAUCCUCGUUGGGAUCUCUCCUCUGAUCCUCGAUUUGGAGGCAAUCCCAACACAGAGGGAUGCCGAGAUCCUCCGGCAUAGCAUCACGGUCUUCGAUGCUCUCGGAAUCCGAAUCCGCCCCGAUGGCGACUAUCUGCCCGUCGGAAUCGGAAUCGGAGUCGGAGUCGAACGCAGCGAUUCUCAAACCCUCGGAAUCCACAGGGCGGGAUCUCGAAAACUCGAUGGAUUCAGAUGCGAAGCUAUUCCCCCUCCUCCCCAAAAAGAAAUCAUCGCCUCCCCAAUCCGAAACGGCCGCUUCCGCCGCCACCACAAUCCGAUCUCCAUCCUCAUCCCAUUCUCCACCGCUCUCAUCACCCCCUAAACCUAGAGAUAGAUUCAAACCCAAGGAAUUCGAUCCUACCUCGUCGUGGGGUUCGGGGAAGGGAUCCAUCGCGAUGUGAGGAAAAGGGCAACGGCGAUUGAACAGAUCGAGGGACAGAGGGGCGUGGCGAUCGGAGUAAUCGGAAUCGGAUUCCGAUUCGUAGGGAUCAGCGGAGAAUACGGGGACGAACGGAUCGCCGUCGCCGGUGCGACGGAAGGGGAGCGGAUCUACGGAUUCGAGGCGCGCUUCUUCGUCUUCUUCGCCUUCUUCGAGGGGGAGGAGGAGAUCUGAGGAGAUCGAAUCCGCCAUUUUUGGUGUCGACAACGUAAACGAAACACGAACGCAAGAGAGAGAGAGAGAGAGAGAGAGAGAGCGGUCGAAAGAAACGCUCGCUCUCUGGGGACGCUACGGGCGUUGGCUUCUGAUAUACGCCGGGAGGCACGUGAGUCGCACGUGAGGGGGAAGGGGUAAUUUGGGAAUUUCGCGUUCCGCAUAAUGGUCAAUUCAGGCGUAUAAUAUGUGUCGAAAAUCUACCGAUACGCGCCAAACUUUUCAGAAUAUUAUUUGCCAAAUUUUUGUUUUCUUUUUAACUUACAUUUUGAAACACAGUCACUAAUUUUUGUCCAAAAAAAAAACAAAGGAUUGUUGCUAAAUUUCUAAAAAGGGCGAGGUGCGGUGAGAAUAACACCAUGGUGAAGGAACGGUUGGGAACGGGCGUAGGGAUGUGCCAGGUUGGGAAUAGCGACGUGUGGACGGUAUUGAUGUAACGAUAGGGGAAAAACCAUCGGUAGAGAUUUGGAAAAUUAAUUUCUUUUAGGCUUUUAGUUGAUGUGUCACUUUGAUAGCACAAUAUGGUGAUCAUAAAUAAUAUAUUCGUUUUCUUAUUAAUCAUGUUUUUUUUUCUUUAUUUAUUUAGAAAUUAUAUUUUAUUGUGCAUAGUCUCUCAAAUUUUUUUUAAUAAUGUAUAAUAUUUUUGGAAUAUUGUUAGUGGUAUAAUAAUCUCUACAAUCACGCUAUGUAAUCUUGAUUAGUCCGUGUCAUCUGACUACUAGUUUGCAAAAUGUAUAAUAAAAAUAUAUUCUGGAUAUUACUUGUGCGUACCAUAAAGUUUUGUUUUUAUUAAUUUGACUCUAAUUUGUAGCACUACGUGCCUCUCUUUACCUAACAAAACAGCAUUUUUUCUUCGCUAGCAAACAUGCUAAUUUACAAAUCAAAGUAUAAAAUUUUGGUUGUAGCUACGCCGUAAAGUGUCUCUUAGCCACCGUUUGGUUGGGGGUUAAGGGGUUAGGGGUGGAAUAACCCCUUAACCCUCGAUUUAUACCCAAACACCACUCUUUUGGGAUGGGGUUAGUAAACCCCACCCCAAACUGGGUUAGUGGGGUUUACUAACCCCACUCCCCUCCCAAUUUUAAUCUCGCACGCAUCCCGAGCCUUCACCUUUUUCUUCUUUAUCAAUCAUUAACCCCACUCCCCCUCCCAACUUUAACCCCGCACGCAUCCCGAGCCCUCACAUUUUUCUUCUUUAUCAAUCAUUAACCCCACUCCCCCUCCCAACUUUAACCCCGCACGCAUCCCGAGCUCUCACAUUUUUCUUCUUUAUCAAUCAUUAUCUUCUUAUCCCACCUACUCCAACCAAACAUUUUUUUUUACUAUCCUAGACUAACUCCAACCUCCAACCAAACAAAAAAAUUUUUUAACACCAUUUUAACCCUGAACUUAACCCUAUUCCUGGAAUAGCUACUUUUUCUUAACCCCGAACCAAACGGGGGCUUAGGCUAUGAUUGUAAAAAUUCUGUUUCUUCAUGAAACAAAUAGAGUUAUAUUAAAGCAUUAAUCAAUAUUUCUGUAGAAUUACCAACCGUCUCUAGAGCAAGUGGCAAAAGGCUUGGUGGUUGGUACUCGAGACCUAAGUUCGAAUUCUAUUUGAUUUAUAUUUUCUGCUAAGUUUAUUUCUAAAUAAAAUAAAUGAAGCGGGUAGCGUGCUACCUAUCUCUCAAAUAAAAUAAAAAAAAAUUUUCUGUAGAAUUCACUAGUCCCACCAAAUCGAUAUUAUGAACAAUACCUAAUGAUGAAUUCGAAUUAUAUUGCUUGUACAUCUCCUCUCUCAUUUAACACAUUGAUGCUUAUCAUUAUUGCCACACCAAAUCAUUGUGUAGCUAAUUUAUAAUCCUCUAUGAUACAUCAAACCACAUUUAAAGCACCUCCAACAAUUCACAUAAAUGAUAGAACACCAGGUUAUUUAGAGGAUCCUAAAAAUUGUAUAAUUCGCAAGGCUUACUUAAAUUACUAGUCCUUCGAAAUCAAAAGCGUUUUUAAUUUUCAAAAUGAAACAAUCGUAAAAUGGAGCUCUCACGGCCCUUGACUCUUCUAAAUGGAGGGUCCAAAAAAACUUUGUAGCCCAAAAUUUAGUUUCUAAUUUAGGAUCGGGUUUAGUAAGCGCACUUUAUACCCGGUCCAAUAGAAGCCCAACUCACUCACCACUCUUUAUCAGGGGAAUGGCCCCAACAUCAGACUACUUCAUCCGCCGUCCAUCACAUAACUGGCACAACUCUUAAAGCAGCAUGUCAACGGCGGAUGGGGUUAGUCCCACACCAACCAAACCAUGAAAAUUAAUUAAUUUUUUUUAAAAAAACUGGUACGCCCUCUCGCUAUCCCUUUUUUUUUGGGUAUACUCGACAAUCUCUCCGCUUCUCUCCGAAUCCUCACCAGGUUGGUCGCCGUGUUCUUCGAAUUUCUUGUGUUUAUUUUAUUUUCUUCUUUAUUUCGUUUGAUUGUUUAAUUGUACGCCGGAUUCGUCGUUUCAUUGUUGUAUGCUUGUAGUUUUAGGGUUUGGAUUUUGGUCCGUGAUCUGGGGAUUUCCCCGAUUCAAUGCGAAACUAGAAGUAGGAAGAAAAAGGAAAAAGGAAAAACCCUAGGGUUCGAAGGUACCUGCAGAUGAAAAAAGAGUAUCAGGAUUGAUUUGUAUAUACUGUGUUGAUUUAUUUGGGUGAAAAAAAAUCACUAGUUGGAUGAUCCUCAUUUCGUUUCUUUUUAUUUUUUUUCUUAUUUUAUCCUGCUUUAAUUAGUUGCUCUUAUUGAUAAUCCAUUUGUUCUACGAAGGGUUGUUAGGAGUAAGUUUUUACCGCAAAAGCUGUGAAUUUUGCAGAAACUAAAUUUGAAUUCUAUUGAUGAUUCUGUGAACUUUUGGACUGUUCAUCAUUCAAAUCCUAUAUAGAAAACAUGAGGUGAUUACAGUAGUUUGAUGUUUCUUUUCUUUGAAAAUUUUGAAAAUUUCAGUUAUCUUAAAGCGUUUGAUCUUCUUAUCGAAAAAAAAUUAUCCUAUACUCUUUAGAGGGCUUGAUCUUUAUUUUUUUCCUCUCUUUCUUCUUUUUAUAUAUUAGCAAUGUCUUCGUAUGAAAAUGUUGUUCCUGGGAAGCUUAAGCUGAAGGGAAAAGCAUUAGAUGUUAAGGCGGGUGGGAUAAAGAAGAAAAAGAAACACAAGCAUCAUCAGGAUGGAGAGUCUCAAAGUGGAAAUAAUGAACUUCAAGCAGGUUAAUUUUUUGUACUUAGUACAAUGUUGCUAUUAUUCAUAGUUUAUUACAUGCUUCGUCUAUUAACAAGGGUCGUAUCAAUAAUAGUUGUGUUUAGCAAUCUCACAUGUGUAGUAGAGCUGAGAAUUUGUAUUGGUUGAUGCGCCUAACAUGUAAAAACUCGUAAAGUUGCACAUCAUGUAUACUCUUUUAAGUAAGAAGAAUUUUAAACUUGCUGCUAACCUGCUGUGGUGUGGAUCAGGUACAAUGAUCUUGGUUAGGGGCAGAUAAACAGCAAACUAGCAUAAAGCCAUAAAUUGUAGCAGAAAAACCUCUUAAACUGGUCGACUAACUUUGUUUUAUAUUCUCACUUGUAUUAUAUUAUCAGCUACUUGACAUGCAAGUGUGCAGGUCUCUGUAACCUUCCGCAACCUCGACCAUAUUAACUAUUUUCUUUGUCCGACUAGCUCACCGUAAAUCCCCUCCCUUAUCUGCACUCCUGCAUGAAAUAGAAGUAAAUAAUAAAUUAAUUAAUAAAUAUGUGAAUAAUACUCUAUUUCUCAUAACUAAAUAUCAAUGGAUCAAUUUCUUGGCCUUGCCAGGCGGAACAAAUUCUUUCUGGAGUCUUUAUAGGAUCCCAUCAACCUUGUGAGCUAUGCAAUUUGAUAGUAUAUUUUUGGGUAGAAAUUAUUAAUUUAAUCUUUUCAUCAGGGUGUGAAUUGCUCCAGUUUGAAGAUUGCCAUUAAUAUUAGAUAUGUUCUUCUCUAUCAUGUGACACAUUUGUUAGAUUUUUUUUUUCUCCAUUAAGGGUCUGUUUGUUUUACCGUAAGUGGGGUGGAAGUGGGAAGGGAAAGUAAUUUUCGGUGAAAACUAAUCACUUCCGUUGUUUGGUUCACCGUAAUUUUAUUACGCCCGAAAGUCUAGUUCACCCAAAAAGGUGAAAUUGACUUCGCCCUCCCACGGGGGCGAAGUCAAUUUCGGUGAAGUCGAAAAUAAAGCAAGAGUGGGUAAUGUGUUAGGGUAAUGUGUUAGGGUUAACUUUAGAAUUUUAUUUGUUGCAUUAUUAUAAUUUAUAUGCAAACAAAUAAUAUAAUUUUUUAAAAUUUUAUUUUAUAAUUAUACAUAUAUAUAUAAUUAUAUACAUAUAUAAUUAUAUUAAUUUUUAUUUAUUAUAAUUUAUUAUUAAUUAUAAGUUACAAAAUAAACAAUAAUUUCACUUCGGAGGUAACUAUACCAGGGAUGGAGAUAUACACUUUUUACGUCAUCUACUUUCUACCAAACAAACAACAGAACUCACAGAACUGCACUUCCACGGUUAGAAACAAACCGCAGAAGUGAAUUAAUUUUCACCCCAACUCCACUUCAACUCCAAGUCCACUUCCACCCCAAGUCUACUUACGUCGAAACAAACAUGCCCUAAAGUGAAAUUGUAUUCCUGGUAAUUUUAGCUAAAUCUGAUUCAUGCAUUCAGACUGGUAAUUUUGACUUUUAGGUGGAAGUUCGGAGUCAUUAGCUGAAACCAAUGAAGACUUGCCAAAGACCGAAAAGCUUGGGGGCGAAGAAAAUCCACCGACACAUGAUGAACACCUCACGCCAGCUGAGAGACGAUAUAUUGAACAGAGGGAGAGAAUCAACAUGCAUAGGCUGGCAAAGACCGCUAAUAAAUCACAUCGUGACCGGAUUGAGGGGUUCAAUCAGUAUCUUGCGAACCUCAGCGAGCAUUAUGACAUUCCGAAAGUCGGUCCUGGUUAGUUUGUUUAUGUAGGGUUGAGUGGAAAUAUAUCACACCGCUAUGAUGGUUCUUCGGUUAUCGCGAACUGUGUGGUGCUCUUUAUGAUGUUCUACUGUUGAGACCGUACUAUAGGGAGAAUUACUAUGCUAGCACAGACUCUUAGGUUAAAUCUUGGUAGUAAAUCCAAGAUUCUCCGUAAUGGUGUUUUCAUGUUCUGAUAUUUGUGUGUACUUGACGAAUCUGCUUAUUCUGUCUGAUUUUAUAUCAACUGGUUGCUUCAAGUUGAGUUUAUAUAAUAGUGUUAUUUAGAGUCCUAUUUAUUGGCACUACUUUUCAUAAUUGUCAUAAUUAGUUCAGGUUUAAUGCGGCCUAUAUUUAAAUGUACUGUAAAGUGCAUCAUGAAAUUGGUGUAAUCACGGCGAGCCUUUUUAUCUAUGGCCAGAAUCUGAGACAAUAGGAAAUAAAUGGAUUUACGCACUCUGCAUGUUUAUCAUGAAAUGGCACUGCUCAUGCAUUGUUGUGUUGUUUUAAACAAUUUGCUCUCAAUCUUUGAACCUCUGUUCUAUUUUUCCUUUUUCUUUCUUUGAGAAAAACUUGUCCGUUUUAAGCGUAAGGGCUCAUCUAUUGCUUGGUAAGGAGAAGAAUCUGAAUACUUCUGUUACACAGGUUUGAAGGGACCAAUGUUCGUUUUUUGGAUCAUCGAAUCUCAGUUCCCAUUAUGAGGUGAGAGUAUGGAGAGACCUUCACGGACUCGCAUGGUUAGUGACACAUUUUGUAAACUGCUAUUUGAUACAUUAUUUUACAUAUGAAAACUCCCAAUACAACCGCACCAAAAUCGGAUAUUAUUUGUUAAAAAAAAAAAAAAAGAAGAAGAAAUAUUAACAUCAGUACAGCAAAAUCUUGUUUGUUUCAACACCGUAGUCACGAGAUUUGGUUAUUCCAACUUCCAUUCACAAACAUACGAAGAUUGGCUUUUCGACUUAUUAGUGAUCUAAAUCCAAAAAUCUCUACAACACUGCUUUAUAUAUCCAACGGUAUUCCAACGGUCACUUCCGUUCCCCUCUCCUCUUCUUCCACCUCUCUCUCUCUCCCCAUUCUUAAUUCCUAACCAAACCCAAAUGGCUUCAUCAGCGACACUCCCUUUCUCCGUAAUCCCUCCACCCACCAUCACCACCUCCUCACCGAAACCCCCUCCGCCGCAAAACCCCAACCUCUCCGUCCUCCGCCUCUGCACCCACCUCCGCGAGGCCACCCAAGUCCAUGCCCUCAUGAUCAAAACCUCCCAAUCCUCCGACCCCUACUCCGCGGGGCGCCUCGCCGAAUUCUACGCCGUCUCCCCCGGCGGAAGCCUCGACUUCGCCGCGAAGCUCCUCGACACAUUCCGAGACCACCCACCGCCCAUGUUCAUAUACAACACCUUAAUGCGAGGGUACCUUCUCAAAAACCAUCCCCUGCAAUCCCUUCAUCUCUUCCGCGAAUUGCUCCUUGCGUCGGCCGAGCCCGAUCACUUCUCGUUCACUUUCGCACUCAAAGCUUGCACCCAAAUUCACGCUCUUCGCGCCGGAAUGCAGCUCCACGCCCAUGCAAUCAAGCGCGGGAUCGAUUCGAAUGCCCAUGCGCGCAACAAACUGAUCCAUUUAUAUGCAGUGUGCGGUGUCGUGCGCGAUGCUCGCAAGGUGUUUGAUGGAAUUACUGAACUGGACUUGGUUGCGUGGAACAGCAUGCUUGAAGGUUAUGCUGAUAACAAGGAUGGGGACUCUCUCCAUGAGCUGUUUGAUAGAAUGCCGGCUCGAGAUGUGGUCUCUUGGAAUACGCUGAUGGCGUAUUAUAUUGAGAUGGGCGAGUUUGAGGAGGCGGUGGAUACAUUCCGAUCGAUGCAGGAGAGUGGGGAAUGUUGCCCUAAUCGCGUGACUUUGGUUAGCGUGCUAUCCGCUAUCACCCAUUUGGGUGCGCUCGGUCAAGGCUUAUGGGCACACGCCUAUAUAAACAGAAACCAAAUUGAGCUCGAUGAGAACCUAAGUUCUUCGUUGAUUAAUAUGUAUUCUAAAUGCGGGUGUAUUGAGGGUGCAGUGUAUACAUUUCAUGCUACGAAUCGUAAGAGUGUGGAUACUUGGAAUGCUAUGAUAUCGGGUUUCACAGCAAACGGCCACAGCUUAAAAGCCGUCGAGGUUUUCUCCACCAUGGAAUCUUCCAAAGUGGGGCCGAACAAGAUUACCUUUGCUUGUGUGUUAAAUGCUUGUAGCCAUGGAGGAUUAAUUGACGAAGGAAUGAGGAAUUUUAGGAAAAUGACUGAAAUUUACAGGAUCGAGCCCGACAUUGGACAUUAUGGUUGCAUGGUGGAUCUUUUUACCCGUGCGGGCUUGUUCGAUAAGGCUGAAGAGUUGAUCCAAACCAUGCCAUUUGAACCCGAUUCUGUGAUGUGGAAAGCCAUACUCGGGGCCUGUAGGAUUCAUAAGAACUUUAUGCUGGGUGAGAAGGCCGGACUUAGGCUCAUUGAGGUGGCCCCAAAUGAUAAUGCUAGUUAUGUACUAUUAUCGAACAUAUAUGCGUUAUCGAGUAACUGGCGUGGGGUACAUAAGGUGAGAAAGAUGAUGUCCGAUAAAGGGAUUAAGAAAAUACCAGGGUGUAGUUCUAUUGAACUAGAUGGUGUGGUUCAUGAAUUCAUUGCAGGAGAUAAUGGUCAUCCAAGGAAGAGAGAGAUUUAUGAGAUGUUAAGUGAGAUGGGGGAGAAAUUGAAGCUUAAAGGAUAUGAGGCUGAUACUACCCAAGUGCUUCUUGAUAUUGAGGAGGAGGAAGUGAAGGAGAAUUCAUUAGCUCUCCAUAGUGAGAAGCUCGCAAUAGCCUUCGGACUUAUUAGCACAAGUCCGGGCACCACCAUUCGGAUCGUGAAGAACCUGCGAGUUUGCGGGGAUUGUCAUGCGGCUAUUAAGCUUCUCAGCAUGAUAUACGAUAGGGAUAUAAUAGUAAGAGACGCAAACCGGUUCCAUCACUUUAGAGAAGGAUCUUGUUCUUGUAUGGACUACUGGUAGCGUCUUAAUUUGAUUUACUAGCAGCAGGGAGGGGAUUAUGUGAAUGUUCAUUCAUAUUCUUUUCCAAUAUAAGAGGUUUAAGUUCUUCAUGCGCUCCAAUUGUGAAUAUUCCUACCUAAAAGCAUGAUGACAAAUUCUGUCGAACAGAGGAAUUGUUAGAAGAGCAUAAACCAGUAAGUUGUAAGAUGGUGUGUGUCAAUGGCUCAAGUUCAAACAGAGGAUCGAGGUGAGUCUUGAUCUGAACCAAAUAUUAUCUUGAUCUAAUCUUAUCCUAUAGUCUGAAAAGUUGAGAAGAACUUUGGCACUAAGGCAUCUGGUUUAAAUUGAUAAGAUGGUAAGGUAGCACUUAAACUGAAUCAAAUUACAGAGAUGAAAACAUAGUCCUAACUUUUAUUCAACCGACAUGUACUGUUAUAGAUAGUUCGAAAAAUGAUAAACAUGAUAAAUUUAGAGAGAAUUUGAGAAUAAUUCAUAUAAAUGCCAUUGAAAAAGCUUUCUUGAACUUCCACAAAUGGAAGAAAAGUAGUGGUUCUUGAAUAUCCUUGGGCCUAAUACCUUUACACAAGAUUGAUGAGAAUAAGUCCCUUAGUAGGGGCCUGGAAAUUGGUUUCCAGCUGGGGAAGGAUGGGAGAUGGAAGUGACAUUCUAUUACAACAAGGAUAGUACAAAUCUCUAGAGCAAUAGUUGUCCUCCAGUUUGUUAGCAAUCACAUCUAGUUCCUGGGGGAUCCAUCCACAGACAUCCACAGCUGGAUAAUUCUUAAAGUCAAAAAAAAAAGAAGAAAAAACAGAUCUCAACCAACUCAAGUUAAUGUUCAUCAAACUUUAUUAUGUUCAAACAGAUCUCCUCUGCUGUAAGAGUUUGUCAUAGGGCACAUGAAUGCUGUUUUCUGAUGUACACACUUCAAAUGUUAUGCCUGAGAUAUUGUGGCUCAUAUGUUUUGCCACAAAUUAAAAGAUCAUACACUCAAAAACAAAAGCACAAGUAAUAGCUCUCAAAUUUUGAUUUGAAUUAUCUGACGAACUUCUUUUAUUACUGCCUUUAUCAGUAACUGAACUCAAAAAAGAAGCUAUUAUAUGUGCGAUUUGUAUGCAUCUCAUUACAUCUUUGGCUGAUUUCCUGUUCAUAAAUCUUAUCACAAUUCUCUCAUUAUCUUUACAAGAGAAAAUAAUUGCAUACAAUGGUUAGUCAUUUUGAGGGACAUUUCAGUUAGGCAGUCUAUAACCUCUUUGAGUAAGCAAUGAAAUUUGCCAUCCAUGCAUGAUUAUUAUUUAUAAUGGUGCGACGUCGCUUACAACUGUAUUGAAGUGAUGAUGGGUUUUGAGAAUCCAAGGAUCCGUUUUGGAUGUUCUUAUGCAAAUUAUUGGUUGAAAGGAUUAUGCUUUGCUAAAACUCAAAAUAAUAUUAUUGCAUAAGUUUUAAGGGGGACAAACAGGCAGGUAGAUUCCACUUGUGGAACAUGUGGUUUAAGCAAUCUUUUAGCUUUUCCUUUUCGAAUAAAGGGGUUAUAUCUUGCAGAAAAUUUGCAAGAAGGUUUUCUGUGAUUGGAACCCUUGUAGCCCUGAUAUUAUGCAAAGAGCAAUGCACAAAUGGUUUUUUUUUUCUCUCUCUCUCUCUCUCUCUCUUUAUUUAGUAAGCAAGAGUCACAAAUGUUAUCUAAGCUCAAUUAUCCACAUCCAAUGAUUAAGAGUUAUGUUAUUAACUGAGCCAAAUUUACUACUGACGGAGAAAUUCACCGAAACUGAUCAUUGUUCACUUGCUAAAUUUGAUUAAAUAUGUAUACUUUGUUUUUUGUUUUUGUUUUUGUUUUUUUUUUUUGAGAGAUAGAUAGCAAGCUAUCCGCUUCGUUUAUUUCAUUUAGAAAUAAACUUAGAAAUGUGAACCAACUAGGAUUCGAACUUAGGUCUCGGGUAUCAACUAUCAAAUCUUUUGUUACUUGCUCUAGGGACGGUUGGUAAUGCGUAUACUUUGUUAAUAGGGCUUUUUCAGUAGUUAAGCACUCGAAAUCCUCUAUUUUCUAAACCAGCUGUGCACAAAUCAAGCUUCUGUUAUAUAUGAUUAUACGGGGAAAUAGGCACAAAAAUAGGUUACAAUCAAACAUAAGGAUGUGGACCACAUCUCUCACCUCUCUCUCUCUCUCUCUCUCUCUCUCUCUCUCUCUCUCUCUCCAAAAUAUAUCCUGUAAAAAUUGAAUAUGCAUAUUAAUUAUUAAAUAGUCUAGAACAGUGAAGCAGUACCAUUUCUUAGCUCAAUGCCAAUCAUUAAUGGGCCUUAUUAAAAACUCGGGUUGCGUAACUAGUCAUAGUGUACCCUUGGGACAAGUAUUUAACUAAUACAACUACUAAACAAUUUAUAUCCCCCCAAGGUGCUUAGCAACUUGCAAUUUAGUUAAUUAACACUCUUAUUUAGUAAAAUAAGACCAUCAGCGUACGCCAAGUGCGUAUAAUCAAGCUUAAAAAAUGCACAUGCCUUGCUGGUGAUUAUGAUUAAUGAUGAUAACCCAUCCGAGGAACGCCUAACCUAGACUUGUUUCCAAAAAUAAAACAUACAAACUAUAUAUAUGUAUGUAUCGAAAUAUAUUGCACAAUUCCUCUGGGGCUCAUUUUAUAGGCCGUGUCUCAACUAAUGCAUAAAUAAAUGUAUGUCACUCGAAGCAUUGUUUAAGCGCCACACUUCUGGGUCCACACCUGAUCAUAUGAUCUGGGUUCACUUAAUCUUUUAAUUUUAGGCCUAGUUUAUAAAUGCUUUUUUUUUUGUUUUUAUUUUUUACUAAAUGGACCGGGAGUAAUAAUCACUUAAAAGGGCAUUUGAGCACUGUGUAGGUGUACAUUUGAGUUAAUUUUCUAGUCAACAAACGUGGGAUGCAUGGUACUGUAUAUUAAUUAGAGGAGACCAUCUCACCGACACAAACUCUCUUAGUAAAAUACUUGGGAAAAUUAAGUCUCAUUAUAUCUCAUUGUAUCAUACACGUAUAUAUAUACACGUACAUAUACAUAUAUAUAUAUAUAUAUAUGGCUUAAGAGAUUCUCGUCGAAUCCUUCAGCAGAAGUAGCUUUGUCUUGUGCUUUAAGAUGGAUUUGGUUGUUUUAGUUUUUUUUUUAGCUUUUCCCAAAAGCAGAGCCAUGCCAACUAAUCGCAAAUACACUUGCUCAUUUGUUUACUCCUACAUGCAUCUUUAAUUGGCCACAUUAUGUUGUGGUAAUUAAGUGCCCCACCUAAAGUCCACUUACUAUUUAAGUUAAUUGAAUUAGAAAAUUUAGUAUUAAACUACUUUUUGGUGGGUGAAGGAAAUUUGAAUUUUGUUGAUAAUUAAUGAUGAACGGCUAAUAGCACAAUGAAGCUUAGCAAAAUGGGAAAAAAAACCGAAAAAAAUUAAAAAACCGCCGACAGAAAGAAGAAAAUCUGUUAAAUUAUAUGCUAGUAGAGAAUGGUUUUUUAAAUUCGACACUCCGCCUCACGUCUGGACUUAAAUUAAAUGAGAGAAAAUUAAAUUACAUUAGGAGCCUGACGAAACUCGAACUCAGAAUCUCUUAAUUUGAUAUCAUGCUAAAUUUCACAAAAUAAUCAUUUUUUUCAAAGAGUUUAAGAUAGCGGAGAGAAAGAUGCUGUAGUAUUUAUAUUCAACAAAAUCAAAGUUCAGGGGCAUGGUUCAAAAUGGCCAAUAGCUCAGGGGACUUCAUACAAAAGAUUGGCAAGGAAUAAUCUCUUACCCAUUCCAUCUUUCCAAGUCCUCUUCUUUAAAUUCACAUAGUAGAGGGAUCUUUUUGUCCAUUGUUUUUAUACUGUAGCAGGGGACUCCUUUAAGAAAAGGUGGGUAAGGUAAAUUAAAGGAAAGGUAAAGAGAAAGAAAAGAGGAUGAGGGGCUUGUUGUAACUUGUACAGUGAGAAAAGGUAAAGAGAGAAAUAACUUGUGUUUCACACCUAAUCAUCCCAAAUCAUUUCCCCUCUAAGGUUUUACAGCUACAUGUCUUGGAGCUUAAGGCUCAUAGUAGUUUAAUUAAUAAUAAAGGUAAAAAUAUAUAUGCACAUAUUAUCGGUCCCUAUACUAUUCAUAUAGUCAACUUAGUCGCUGUACUUUUUACUUAUAUAUUUUAGCAUCUGAACUUUUAUUUAUCUGCAAUAUAAUCUUUGUUCAAACUAUUUGAAAUUUUUUAAAAAAUUAAAGUUUUUUAUUUUAUGUUAGCGGAUUAAGAAACUUAAAUUUAAAGUAAAGGGAUGGAAUUGCUAUGAGGAGAGAGUAGAGGGAGUAAUAUUGCAUUCUUACACUUAAAUUAAGUUUUGGGGUUAAUUAAUAAUAAUAAAGUAAAAGUACAUGCAACGGGGGUUCCAUUAUUCUAAAGUUAGGUCGACUAAGCAAAGCACAAUUCCCAAUGCCAUAUAACAAAAGCAUCUCAAGUGGUAGGCUCAAAGUUAUCCUAGCAUGGUAACAUUAUAUUAGCAAAGACCCUAUGGAGGUUGUGACAUGAUUUUAUUAGAGAAAGUUUCAAUUGGUUUGAUUACCAAGGCAAGUAAAUUAUUAUCUUAUUUUCUCCUAUUGUGUUUUUGAUAUAUAUUUAUCUAGUCUUUGCAACUAAAUGAUAUGUUUUGUAGACUCGAACUCAUUAGUCUCUGUACAAAUUACCUGUUAGCGCGCACGCGCACGCACACGCACACGCACAAAAACUUUAUGUUUGUAAUCUUUACAUAUCUCUAAUUUUACGGUAAUUUUACGAUAUUGCAAAUCGAUUAGUAAAAUAAAAAAAAAAA